GAGGGAGUCGAGGUGGAGGUGAUUGGGGUUAGGGUCAGGGUUGUGGUGGUCGACGACGGUGGCGGAGGCCAUGGCAUUGAAGAGUGAGCAACAGAGAGAAAGAUAGGAGAGAGAGAUUUGGGGGAGAAGAAACCAAAGUGGAAGAUGGUGAUGUAGACGACGAGCCGUUUCGGGACUCCUGUUGUGAUUGAAUGCUGCGCAGUGUAGUUUGGCCUUCUGUGGGAGCAGACUAAGUUGCUGACACGUGUAUUAAUUAAUCCUGUGGCAACAGUGAUGGUCUGAGUUUUGAAGAAGUUCCACUUUAACCUCUCUAUUUUUAUUUAUUACGACUUAACCGUUGUAAUUUUCAAAUUGUUACAAUUUAAGAAGAAUGACUCAACUCUUCUACCUUUUCAACGAAAUUACACAACAAUAAUCUUCUAAAUGGCACGGGUGCAAGCGGGUGGACACAUUGUCUUAACUAACUUCAUGUAUACAUUGUUCGUGUUCCAUAUAGCAAGCUGCAAGAGAAGGCAAAGGAAAUGCAAGAUGAUAAGGUUCAUUUAGGAAUUUUGUUAGGACCCAAUGUCCCCCCGUUGGAAAGAUAACUUGUGUUGGAAUGAUAUAUGAGGUUUUGAGCACUCUUUGCUUAUGAGCCGGUAGUAAAACACAUUCUUAUUCGACGAGGAUUUCAAGGUGUUGUUACAUCACAAGACUCGUAAAUAAGUGAUUGUUUAUGGAGGAGUGUUAAGAAGACCAAAUUGUCAGUAAUUAUAGAAUCACAAAGAGAGCGAAGUGCUUUCAUUUGGGGCUUUCAGUUUUGAUGCUCCUUCCCCUGCUUUCAGAGCAGCACCUUGUUGCUGGGCCUUCCAAAGCUCCAUUUUGAUUGGGCUUUGGCCCCAUAUAACUCAAAAGUUCAUCAAAAAAGGUACACUGCAACAUCAUCAAGCACACCUAUAAAAUUCAAAAGGCCAAAUACUUUGGUUGCUUAAAAGUUUUAACCGUAAAUUAAAGUAGUUUAGAUUAUCGUUUGUACAUUUUUUGAAUUUUAAUUUAUAAAUAAAAAGAAAAUGAGUCGAGUAAUGUUCAAUCCAAAGAGAUGACAACAUCAGGACUCACUUUUCACUUACUACUAUGUUACUAAUUGAUAUAAAGUAGUAGCAAGUAAGUUAGGUAGAUAACCCCAUCAGCCAUUCAUAUUGGGCAAUAUAUUUGAUUUUUGGAGAUGUGAUGGCUGUAGCAAUUACAACCAAGAAAAUGAGAAAAUGCUGUAACAAUUACAUGGUAGCUUGAGAGUAGUGGCAUGCUUCAUGUGCCUGUCAUGGUCAUGAAAACUCAGUUUCAAUAAGCUCACAUGAUCAUAAGAUCUCAACCCAAUUGAUAAAUAUUAUAAACUAUGAUAUAGUAUAAUGAAAUUAAUUGAGGGGUAGGGUCCGGAUGGGGGUGCUUUUGGAAGGGUUAAAAGCUUUUUCUGACAAUCAAAAGUGCUUCGCCAAAAUGUGUGGUAAAAAAUUUUAAAAGCGCUUUUGGAUCAUAGAAUGGCUUUCUGGAGAAGCAUCUGCCCUGUGCUUCCUUAGCAAGCACUCCCAAAUGCUUUUUCAAAAAACACUUUAAUUUCUUAUGAAAAUUUCAACAUCUUGAUGAUAAAAACGAUUUUACAUCUUCUAAAAUAGGAAAGAUAUUCUGUCUGCCACCACAAAGAAAAGGCAGGCCCAUGAUUUAAUUUGCAGGGUGCACGCACUGGAGCUUUAUCACUGAGAAAGUUCUUUAACUCUUAAUGUAUGACUGCUAGUUUCUCAUCCGCCGCCUGAACGACUGAUAUUAGCAGCCGUUGAAACGACUGAUAUUAGCAAAAUCUAAUUUCGAGUGGAUCAAAUAAGAAAGACAAUGAUGGUGGAACACGUAAAGGGUGACUGAAGGCGGUGAAUAAUGUUCACACAAAAGGAAUCAACGGACCUGCACGGUGGUGCGUACGAACCAGCGUUUUGGCCUUAUUAUUAGAUUAUUGUUAUUAUUAUAUGUGUGAUGUGAAAGUAGGUGAGUUGAUUGGCAACAUGGGACAUGCCUAUAAUGCAUUAAACUACAACCAGCAAACAAAAUUGGGUGUCCUAAUCAAAUACGAAGACCCUCAUCUAACUAAUUCCUGGACCCCAACAAUUGCGUCCAAAUACUAAACAGCUCAAGAUUAAUCAUCGGUCCCUACCAAAUUAGUGACAAAAUUAAUUGAAUUGAACCACCAGAUCAAUACUGUCCAUACAAAUUUGGUUACAUACUAGUGAGUGAAGUAUGUGUUCGAGUCAAAUACUUAUGUAAAGUUAGAUUGUAAGUUACCAGAUAUUUUGUUUAAAUCCAAAUUCAGUUUUAGACCUUAUAAUUGUGUAAAUUGUUUUAAAAAUUUGGGAAGUGUUAUUAGCACUUCAAAGUAGUAUCCUAUACUAUUAUAAUACAAUUAUAAUUUUGUACAUGCAAUAAUGUACCUAAUGAAGAGAGAAAAAAAAAAAACCUUCAAUGAAGACACAAUGUCCAAUUAGAACAUACCGCGUGUUAUUAGGAUUCAUAUUCCGCAGUGCAUGUUAGGUUACUUAUUUAAUAAUGUGGUAGGGAAGGGAAGUCUAUGCCGAUUUUUAUGUAGGUGUUAUCAAUCACCACCGUGUUAUAAUAAGGAUGUGCAACAUGAUUGUACUCCAGGGUAUAAUAUGUUUUAGUAUUCACGUAUUAUAAGUUAUAACAUAUGUGGAUUGAUAACAUCACGAGAUGAUCCCGAUGAAAAAAGAAUCGUAUUAAAUGGUGAAAAUUUGAGAAGAUAUUCUAUCACAUUAUUGUGGCAAUAAGUAAGGUGAUGAUAUAGAAGGUGAGGUGAAAAAUAUAUUUAUUUAAUUCUAUAGUAUAUUGGUUUUAUUAUGGCAGGUUAUUCUGGUCUGGAUAUUAUAUUGGCAGAGUUACAUGUUACAGAAACCGUGUAACAUGCGCGUAUGUCCUUUUCUUGUGCGGCUCUUCUAUAUCUUCUAAAUCUCUCCAUCUCCUGUUGCCUAUUUCUAGUGUUUUUUAGGCUGUGGCUUAAUUAGUCCACAACCACAACCACCGCUCAAACGAGAGUUUCAAGCCGUUUUUUCAGGUUGGAAGGAGCCCAAGACCUUUCUUUCUUCUCAUUCAAAAAGAAGCUUCAACGCCUGUAAGGCACCAGGAGAGAGGACGAGAGUCAGAAAACUUUCGUCCAGUGGGGAGUGUGGAGAGUAAAUGCGCUCGUCCAUCACCUCCGCCACCCUCCCUCUCUCUUUUCACAUUGUGAAGUUAGAUAGAGGCUCGAAACCGGUUGCUUUGGGAAACUAAAGCAAUUCUGGCAGGUAAAAAAACUCUGUAACAUAUGUAAAGAUUUUGUCUUUCUUUUUGCCAAUCUUUUUUGCCACAAAAUGAUGGCCGUACAUAAUACGUAUCAAUCUUGACGUGUUGCUUCUAAAAGUUUUUGUAUGCUAAUUGGUAUGGUGGUGGUUGUUUUCUGCAAUAAAGUUCGUGUCUUGGUGGUUUUCUGGGGAUACGGGAUUUGUCUCUGAAUUGGGUUCAUGCGUUUGAUUCAAAGAAAGCUAAUGUUGGUUUUUAAAAUGAUUUGGAAGUAUUUCUAAAUUAUUUAUUGUUGUUUUGUGAACAGAGAAGGUUUUUGAACAAACACAUUUUCCCAAAGCUUCCAGAGAGGAGCUGCAGCAUAUAAAACUCUGGCCGACAAUUCGGACAAGUUUUCUCGAGCCGGAGCAGGUGUUGGCCCUCAGUUUUCUGGUCAUCAACCCUGUUUCGGGUGGCCUCAGUCACUGAUUUGGUGCCUUCCUGUUGAUUAUGGUUAAACACUUGGUCCAACUAACAUCAGUGUAAAGCCCAAACAACCAGACUUUUGGAAUUUGAACGUGAGCUCAGUUUUGAAGAAAACAGCAGGCAAAACCAGACUGAAAUACAAGCGUUUUUGGGUUUCGGUGUAUUUUUUAGGAUUCAGAGUUUAUUGUAUCAAAAAUGACAAAAUUCAGUUGCUUCUCUGUGAUAGUUAGGCGGAAGAAGAAGGUUCAGGUGAGACUCUCUCUCAAUAUAGUUGGUUUCUUUAUUGUAAUGUGAUAUAUGUAUUUGGGUUUUUGUUGAACUUUGUGAAUUGUGAUCCGCUCAAUUUUCCGUCCUCUUUUUGCUUUUUCUGUUUAAUUUUAGAGAGAUUAUGAAUCUGCAAGACCUGUUGAAGUGGACAAGGCAAUUAGAACCCUGCAAGUCAGGCUUCAACAACAGCCAGUGAAACAUUUGGAGAUUGAUGGGACCUUGAAGCCAGCAACUUUAGGAGUCUUGAUACCUUAUGGUGUUGAGAAGAAGUACACUACCCCUAGUGGCAAGGCAAGGAGCCCUUACAGUCCUAUUGGGUUUGUUGAAGCAGCAUUCUAUGAAGGGGAAGAUGAGCAUGAAGGGAACCCCUUGGAGAGGGAAAACUGUUGUAAUGAUUGCUCUCAUCUGCAAACCCCUGAAGCCAAUUCAGGUGAAGUGACUCCAUCAGGGAAGAUGGAUUUAUCUGAAUCUGAUUCAGGUGAUAGGGGUGUUGAUAGGAUUGAAAGUGGGCAUCUUAGUGAUCCGGGCGUAGGGAAGGCAGAGUUUUGGGCAUCACCAAAGCUUACCAGGUCAUGCUCUAAUUUGGAAACUCAUCAUACGGAUGUGGUUAAGAAGAUGUCAUCUAAGUUGCCUGCUUCGAAGACUCAGUAUUUUGAAGAAUUACAUGAAUUGGCAGACAGUGUGACGAAGUAUGUUGAUCCUGGCAGCCCCGGUUCUGUGUUAACCCACUUCACUGCUGAUAAAGUGAUGCUGAAGAAGCAUUCUUCAAGCCAAGUUCUUCCUUCUAGAAGUAGAAAGUUGUGGUGGAAGUUGUUCCUUUGGAGCCACAGGAACCUGCACAAAACAAGGACUGCAAAACAAAAAACGCCUAGCCCCAUUUCUUUGAACAAGCAAGGAGGGUACUCUUCGGAUACACUCGAACCAAACCGGGCUAUGCAGUUUGUCAAGAUGGAAUCACCUCUGUCUUGUACUGGAGAAUCAUUGAACAAGGGGAAGAAUAUUGCAGAUGACAACAAGAGCUGGGAUGGUUUUAACGUUGGAGGCUCUGCUUUAUGGCCUCAGAACCAAUGGGUUGCUUUCUCAGCGGACACAUCCUCAUCUACAAGAGUGCAAGAGUGGGUGAAAGAUCUCAAAAUGCAACCCUCGGAAAAUAAUGAAUAUGACUACGAGGGACUCAUCACCCCACCGACCCCGCCCACUCCUGAGACUCCUCAAUCUCCGGUGAGUCCUGAGACUACUAGAUCAAAAAGCGCAACUUACUUUAGUCGAGGUCUUGACGAGGAUACUUUACAUGCUAAUACUGUGAUCCAGACUCUAAAUUCUUCUACAACUGUGGCUCACAUAUCUGGUAUGGGAUUGAAAGCUAUCCCCAACAUUUCAUGCUUAGGCAGUCUUCGAUCUAUCAACUUGUCAAACAACUUCCUAGGUAUGUUGCUAUAGCAGAAAACAAAUAAACCAUAGAAGUUAAUACUUGCAUAUUGGUUAACGGUACUAAGCUUCUUGGCAAUUGUUCUCAAUUUGCAGCCCACAUCACUCCAGGAUCGCUGCCGAAGAGCCUUCACACGCUCAACUUGUCGAAGAACAAAAUCAGCACCAUUGAAGGACUAAGAGACUUAACUCGAUUGCGUGUACUUGAUGUCAGUUACAACCGCAUUUCUAGAGUUGGACGUGGUAAGCUUUUAUCAUUCUAACUUUUCAACCAUCUAAUUAAUCUUAGAAAACAAGCUUUCCCAAGUAAAAUAUACUAUUCCAAAUGGUCACUGAUUCACUGUGGAUCUUAAUGGUGCCAGGGUUAUCAAGCUGCACUCUAAUCAAGGAGCUCUAUCUCACUGGGAACAAGAUCAGUGAUGUCGAGGGUCUACAUAGGCUACUGAAGUUAACAGUUCUGGACCUGAGCUUCAACAAGAUAACAACAACAAAGGCAAUGGGACAGCUGGUGGCUAACUACAACUCACUGCAGGCUCUGAAUCUGUUAGGGAAUCCAAUCCAGAACAACAUCAGUGAUGAGCAGCUGCGCAAGGCAGUUUGCGGUUUCCUCCCGAAGCUAGUGUACCUGAACAAGCAGUCCAUCAAACCACAAAGAGCAAGAGAGGUACUCACAAACAGUGUAGCCAAAGCUGCAUUAGGGAACAAAGGAUGGAGCCCUCGUAGAAAAGAUGGCAAGAGGCUUAACCAAAAACGUGCCUCGUUAAAAAAGCCUAAUACCAUAUCACCAAGAAAAACUUCAUCACUUCCCAUACAUGGGCACAAGAGCGGUGCAAGUGAUGUACAGAAAAACAUACGCAAGUCCAAGAGCAUAUCCAUAGCUGCACUCCCCUCUUCAUCCCAUUAGAUGCUUUUUCCAUGUUAGCGGGCCUUCCCAAAAUUUUGACACAAAAUUUGUAGGGGGUGUCUCUCCCUUCUCUGUUGUUUUCAGAGUCUCUUCAAAGUCUGUAGGGCUACAAAGACCUGGUAGUUUUCAUGUCAGUUUUCAUGUCAGUUUUCCAUCGGUUAUUAUAUAUAUGCAGGCUGCAUUUUUGCUAUAUUUGCUCAUUUCUAUUUAGUUGAAACCAAAUUGGCUCUUACUAUUCAUUACAAGGCAAAAGAAAAAAGUAAUCAUUAGAGAACGUAAGACAAGAAACCCAUGUUGAUGUUGCAACCUAAACCUACUACAAGAUGCACAUCCAAAGCAGCUAAGCGAAUUUGGAAAAUGAUGAUUUAGUAAAUUGUUCAUCGAUAUUGUCAUGUACUGUGAUACCAGGCAUCGGCCAUUCGCCCCAAAAAGGGGUUUUCCCUUAUAAUGAUGCAAGCAAGUCGCGAAAUUCCCGACUGUUAUUUCACAUUGUGAGAGCAAUUCAAGUAGUUCAAUUUCUAGGCGGCAAGGGCGAAGGUUAGCUGGAGGUUUGUGUCUACUGUAUGAUUCCAAAUUAAUAUGGAAAAAAGAAAGAGAAAAACAGAGCAAGGCUUGGGAUACUUCGACAUGGAAGAUGACCAUUUAGGCCAGGCAUAUUAUAUUACGCCCUAAAGAGGAGAAAUCUUGUGACCAAAACUUGACGUGGAAAGACGUGUGCGGGUAAACAUCAUAAUGCUUGCAAACAAAACCAAAAUCUUCAAGCUUUAUCUUCUCCUGUUUCAAAUCUUUAUGGCCUGAGAGAGAGAGAGAGAGAGAGAGAGAGAGAGCUGUGAACUAAAAUUUUGGUUCAUUGCUACCUCUUGGUGUUUAUAGCAUAGGAUGUCACUAAAGAAAAAGGCAUACUACAAGAUUCAUCGCGCCAAGCUGGCCCCAUAAAGAUUUUCUAAGAACGCACACGUUUCUGUAGACAAAGUAACAAACAAAAUAUUAAAGUUAAUUUCUUAUUUUACAGGACAAGUGCUUAACAACUAACUUUACCAAACUCCGUAGCUUUCUCCCUCCUUUUUUUUUUUCAUACGAUCAUAAGGAUACUCUACAAGGUUCACGCUCAAAGGAUCAGAACAGAACUUUGGAGCUCAUUUUCACCAAUCAUUAAGUACCUGAAAUCUAGUUACAAAAGAAUACAAAAACAAAAUUUGCUCUCCAAGUAAAUCCUUGCUUUGUAGUAGAAUCAGAAUGCCCCUGUUCACAAAAUUCCCAGUUCAUUUUCUUAAAUGAUCACCAUCACCCUGGCACCAGUUGACCAACAAGACAUGAAAACUCCUGCUGCAACUCAAAGCCCGGAGGUUUAUUUUUGCACACCUUCAUCCACAAAAUUACCAAGUAAAUCGUUGAUAAAUAAUCCAAAUUUCCACAAGGUGCCACCAAGCUUUAUAUACAUCACAUGUUAUGAUUUCUUAUGACUCGAAAAACCUUGCAACACAAGAUACAGUUAUGUCAAGGACCAACCAAGAUACCUCUGAUGCACCCAAAUUCCUUCUAGGUCCAAGCUUCCUCAAGCUAUAACACAACAUUCUUUGAAGCACAAGCAAAGAACUCCCUCAAAUUGUCCAAACCCUCUUGUCAUUUCCAUUGAUCAACACAACCCUGUUCCAUUUCCUUCAUUUCAGCAUACUUAUACAGCUUCUCAUUGAAAACCACCUGCGGAUCCUUCUCAAUCAAAACCCCAUUUUGGUCAUAAGCAUCUUUCAAGAAAACAACCCAAUUCAUCUCUGUCCCCGCGAGAUAAAACGUUCUGGGCUGCUUAAAAAGCAUCUGAUAAGUAUGCUUGGUCAAACUAAACUCCUCCUUGAACUCCACAACAUGGUGUAUAGAAGCCCUCUUCUCCAAUGUCAAGCUCAAAAACUCAUGCAACACUCCCACUCUGUACUUCUCCGCUUCCAGAGUCCAAAGGUCGAAUCUUGACCCAUCCGAAUACGGCGAAACCAGAGGAAGCGAGUUCAAUAAGUUCAAUUUCCUCUCAUCCUCUUUUUCCAAACCCAAAUCCUUCCCAUGCUUCACUGGAAACCUAAAAGCCCUCUUCACUUUCUCCUCGUCAACAAUAAACUCCCUCUCCAAAGUGCUCACCGCCAACAACGGAUCCCAAUUCACCAAUUCAAGCAUUCUCUUCCCACCUUCCUCAAUCACAGUUCGAAAAUAAUUAGGGUACUUCGAAACCCGGUCUCGAAAAUCUUCUGGGAUUCCAAAUAAGGACCUGCAAUGGUAGAUUUUACUCAAAGGGAUACGCUUGUUCGAGGACAUCAUAAGCAAUUUACGAACCUUGUUAACUCGGUCCGAUUCCAUUGAGUCGACAAUGACUCGUUCCUGUUCGAGCAAAUCUUCCAUGAACUCGGUGAAGCCGAUCCACAUUUUGUUGUCGACAUGGCGGUAGGUUUGGAACAGAAGGGGGUGGCGCUGGAGGAAUCGGGCGAUUUUCCGGCCGCGAGGGAAGCCGAGUUCUCGGUGGAGCUUGCCGGCGUCGUCGAGGCGGAGGACGCGGUGGGGCUGCUUGGAGAGGAAGUCUCUGGAUUUUGUGAGGAACCGGUAGUGGGCAUCGCGCUCGACGAUGUGCUCGAAGUGGGGGAUGAGGUUGGGUUGGGUCUGGACGAGCUUCGUUCGAGGGCUUUCGUCUUUCUUGCGCUUUUUUUUAAAUUUUUUGGGGGUUUUGGUGAUGAGGAAGGAGGUGGAGAAUGGAGAGGUUUGGAGGAGGAGGAGGGAGAGCUGCAGGCGAUUAGGGUUAGGGUUUGGGUUUGGGAGAAGAGAUGGGGGUGUGGCGGUGGGGGUUUUGGAAACGAGGAGGCGCCACCAAGCCAUGGAAUUUGCAGCGCUCUGCCCAAACUGAAGUGAAAUUUAAAUUUCAGCAAAAUGACCUGAUACUACAACAAUUUCUCAAACUCUCUUUCCAAUUUUUAGGUUUACCUAUAAUUUAACCCAAUUAAGAAUAGAUUUUUGAAAAGAAAAUAUGGAGGGAAAUAAAUUUUAGAUGGAAUAAAUCACAUUCCUACUUACUUGCCAAUCAUAAUUUAACACGUAUACAGAAAAAAUGAAUUAUUUAUGUAUAUGCUUCACCACUAGAGCCCUCCAUUGCCGCCCAAUAUUUCUCCCAUUUGCCAUGUUCUCUAUUUGUUCAAAGUUUUUUUUAACCAACAUAGGGGCCCUUUUUAUCCAAUCUUUUUAAAACAAGCGAUAUUGGCGGACAGGGAAAAUAAACCUAGGAUCUCUAGUGCAGAUAUAAGAGUAAACGUUCUUAACCACUUGUGCUACAAGCCCUUUGCCCCUUGCCCCUUUCAUCCAAUCUUUAGUGUUUCUAAACGAAAUCAUAAUUUUCUUUUGUAACAUUUAAAUACUAACACUUUAUGAGCAAUUUUAUGAGAGAGCUAGUGAACCAAUUGGCCCAAGAGAGACUCAUGGGUGUAUGUCUCGAAUAAGCCCAGUAGAGAAAAAACAACCCUCUGUGCUGAGAGAGCUAAUGCCAUUUGCUGCGUCACAUGGACAAAUCUAAAGCAUGCUUGCGAACUUUGUUUCCCAAGAGAAGGCCAAAUUACAAGCUUCACAUUUGAAAUGGAUCAUGUAAUAUUGCAAAUGUAAAAUAUAAUCAACUUUUGAUGGUGCUUGACAUAAAUGCAUUGCCAAGCAUGUUUUUACACUAUAAGAAACUGACUGCAUUUGUUUAUUCUGUAAUGAUCUUCACAAUCUUAAUCAUGUGGUUGUAUAGUUACAAUGAGAAAUUACAUGGAAGAUUAAAAAUCUAAUCCUACACUUCUCUCUCACUUGCUCCGGACCUCAAUACCAUAAUAAUUACAUGACCUAUGUCCUAUGGCAGCCUUACGGCUCCACAGGAGUUGUGUCGCUUUUACAAGACCGAAUUUUGAUUUCUUUUCUCCCAUGUUUUCUUUGGUUUCUUCUGUCCAAAAUUUUUGAUUCCCUCCUUUCAACGGCAGAGCUUUAUGAUGAUUGAUUAAAAUAAGUAAAUGAAUAUGAAUGAAGUGAUAUACCACCAUAUCUCAGGCUCCCUUUGGAAACUCCUUAUUAGUUUGCUUGUUUCUUGAAGAAAGGCUUUUGGCAUAUGAGUAGUUUCUCAUCGCUGUUGCUUUCGAUUUCUACCACACGCGCAUCCCACUUCAGCCCUGUUGUCAGAGCUCUUGCUGAUUCGACAAGAGCAGCUUUGUCAUGGAUUAUCACCCAACCCUGCAAUAACCAUCAACAUCAGAAUCAUAACUAACAUAAUGAAACAAAGAAGAAACAAUCCUUCAUAGCAACUGUAAGUUUCUUUUGUGUUUCGGUGGCAUUGAAGUUAAUCAAUUAGCAUCUUACAUAACUUGUGGAUGCAUAGUGGUUAAAGGCUUCAUCCAACACUAAAGGAAAAUAUGAUUAUCAUAUGCUUGUCCAUGUGUUCUGACCAGUUGCAUCCUGACAUGUUACUAGACAUCUAUCCAUCUAUAAGAACUGGUGUCUAUAAAAGGCUUAAAAAGCAUUUCCUCUAUGAGUCUACAAUUUACUUAUCAGCUCCUCGUUCUAAGGGCAAAUAGCCAGCGUGGAAAAGAAACCGCACUUAACUAAAACACAGACAAAACCAACAGCCAGUAUUAGUAUCACCAAAACAUAGCCAAAACCAAAUGAGAGUUUUAUUUUUCUUCCUUGAGUCAUUAAAAGUGGAACAGUUACACAGUACCAUAUAUGCAGUAGACACAUGAUUUUUAUGGAUGUACAAAAGACCACCCACAUGGUCCUUGCUACAAACUUAAAUUUUUUGAUACUUUCAUCUUCUUUAAAUGGUAAAAAUACCAAUAAUAUAACUGUGACAUACAAACUUGCAUGGCAACCAAUUCAAUCUUGCGUGCAAAAACCCAUUCAAUGCAACAAAUAACAUAUUCGGGGCACAACAGAAUGCUCUGAUAGUAAAUUGAUUUUUAAAUUGAAAUUUAUUAUAUACUCUGUAAUCUUGCAUGAUAAUCAACAUCCAGAAAUUAAUUAGUGCAUGUCUGACUAGUUCUUCUGAACAUUCAAAGCCAUUGAAUAGAAUUGGAACAAAAAGGACCCUUGCAAAAUAACCAUAGAUAAAAUAGGACCGUUUAGCAUGGGUACCUCUGGACGAAGCAAUCGAUCAAUCUCAGUGAAUAGAUCCAGAAUGGUACAUCUGCGCUGGUGAUCAACUUCAAGGGAAAGAAGUCCUGCUGCAUGCACCAGAUCAUAGGUUCUUGGGUAUGUUGGAAAGGGUUCACACCUGAAAAAGAGAAAAAGUAGUAUUAAAACAAACUAUAAAUUCAAUAGUUACAAGUAUCCUUUCACAAACCAAAUGUAUGAUGACAUCCCUUAGCAUGCAUUGCUAGUUAUUUCUUCAAGUUAUUUACCCAAGUUACAAAAUUGUUCUAAUGCUGAAUUAUUCCAAAUGGCAAGGCUGUUCUAAUACUGUCCUGCCCAAUGAAAUUUUAACCAGAGUUUUCUAAUUUGGCAGCUAACCAAGUAAAAUGAAGUAAGAAUUCCCCCAUCAAGAAUUCAACCAUCAGAUCCGUAAAGUCAGCCUAAUUUAAGAAGCUUGAGGUCAUUUUUAUAAUACAAAAUUCCUGUUUGGUUUACCCCACUGAUCAACCAAGGGAAGGAGCACCAGCUGACUACUAAACAUGAAGGCCAAAAAAAUCCCUAGUUAGGGUACGAAUCUACUUUCUCUCCUUCAUGAAUGUUUAAGUUAAAAAAUACAAAAACCCAAUAGCAACAAGACUUGGGAUAGCAAGCAAAUCAAAUUAAGUUGAUAUGGUGCUUUUUGCAGAUGAAAUUUGGUUAAGUUUGAGAUUCCAAGUCAAACACGAUGUUAGUACAUAAACGGUAACUGUAAGACAACAUGAUGUAAGGAAAGGAGGAUGCAAAGACAAAAGUAGCUUUACCAAUCAUGCAGAACACCGACAAAUCCCCUGUCAAGGAUCAAGGGCAAAUAAUUGGGUCCAUUUGACGGGACCACAUUCAUGACCCACACAGAUUUUCCAGCUUCCAAUAAUGCAGAAUUAAAACCACCAAAAUGAGCAUUCAUGUCAAGUACGUUUCUAAGCAUGUUAUAGGGUGGUGAAGGAUCCUCAUCGCCGGGUCUCUUUGGAUGAUCUGAGAAUAUCAAUGGUGACAGAAGAGACCAAUAAUUACGGACCGCCAUUUUCCAGGUCUCGGCAUCCUCAGAGAGUUCUUCUGGGUGCAAUCCUGAAUGAAAAUUAUAACACAUACAUAAAGCAUAUGAUUUUCACCAAAAAUAACGUAAGAGAUACAUAGAUAAGUCAGAGGCUAAGCAAAUAAUGCAUUUAUUUUUUCCACUCUAAGCUGUAUCAAGAACACAAGAAGUACCAUAUAUUGCAAGUUCACUCUUGUUUGGAUUAGCCCUUGAAGGCCAGGUUGUCCUCUCUUCAAUAGGAAUCCAUCGGCGGCUUUGUGUUCCCCCAAUACAAGCUUGGAGUGGUCGAUAAUAUGGAGAUUCAACAUCAUGGCCUUUGCUGCAUAUAGAGGGACCUGAACCAGGCUUCCUAAAGAAUAAGCAGAUUGUAAUACAAAUCAGUAUCAGCUCUUAUUUGCGUGCACUAAAGACCAAACACAUAUGAUCCCAAGUUGAGAAGAAAAACCAUGUUAGUUUCCUUACCGCGAACUAUAACAAUUCCUUUUACUGGUCUUUUUCCAUACAACUGUUUCAUCUUGUUGUGAUAACAUCUCCCAGCAGAGAUUUUCUGCAAAAUCAUGCACAAGGUUCCACCUUUUCUGAUUCACUUUGUUACGACGAAACGUCUCAGCAUUUGUAAUUGGUGAUGUCCAGACAAAGUAUCCACCGGGCUUCAAAACUCUAUCAACUUCAAUCAAGAGGAUCCCAUCUGUACGACAUAACAUUUUAUACAGAUGAUUAACAUACACUAAACAUGGACCCAUCCAAAUCCAGAAAUUCACAAAAGCAAAACCAAGGUGCUCAAAUUCACAGUCCAGAUUCUAAGAUUCUGCAAACUAAGGUUAGUGCAUCACAUCAAAUUUUUUCUCUUAUUCAAACUUUCUUUUUUCCAAUUACCCUAUUAAUGGUCAGAUAAUACUUCACAAAAUAUACAACCACACCCAGGAAAACUUUGUAACCCAUAAACUAUUAUUCUAAAUAUUCUUCUAAAGAAUGAAGAUCUACUAAUAUUUCUGGAAAUUCUUUAAAAUAGAGAAAUUGAUAUUGUUGGUUUUAUACAUUUGUGAUACAUAGUUUUCUUUCAGUUCUCGAAAUGUACACAGGUUUCAGGAUAAGUUUACAACAAACACAACAUAACGCAGAGUAUUUGCAGAUAUACAAUUACAUGUGCAUACAUGUAAGUCUAGAAAGAAGAACCACUUUGUGAUAAUUAACUUCUGACUGAUUACCUCGUUGGUCCCAAUCAAUGCCACACCGUGCACAAUGCAACAUAUCAAAAGAGAGAGAUGGAUAUGGCAACUGUUUCGAAGUAAAAGAACCAAUCAUCGCAGGAAGACCCCUUUCAAGUGUUAGCUGAACUUGGCUUCCUGAAGCCUCAUAGUUUGCAAUGCACAUAGUUAGGAUCUGACUGGAAAAGAGAUGCGCUCCAAAACUACCAUAACCACAUCCUAUAUCCAAGAUGGUUCUCACCUGCAAAAUUAACGUUGACACUUUCAUUCAUCAAAAGUGUUUAUAUAAUACAGUUCAUAUGGCACAAAUUCAUGUUGCAGUACAUCAAAGAGAAAAUAUACUACAAGUGAUCAUAAUAUAACCAUAUUAUGCUAACCGUUUUCGUAAUAAUCAGAAUCAUAUAAGACUUUCUGUAAAUGAUCAAUCAUGCAAGAGAAACCAACAGAUAUGACGUAUAUCUGUAUAUCUGUAUUUAUGUGGUAUGUAUGUAUGUAUGCACAUGUACACAUAUAAUGGCACCAAAGUCACCAGAGACACUUGGUAGAGUACCCUACGGAGUUUUAAAGUACUUUCACUCUCUUUUGGAGUUAGCGAUGUAAAACAUAAAUGCCUUGAAACAGGUCAGACAGCUUAUUACCUGAGCUGCAGUUUUCAUGCCAAAGGUGAUAUUUGACAUAUUUAUCAACAUGUAACUAUAACUACCCAAUAAAAGAGUGUGUUGAUUCAUUAUCUUAAACUGAAAAACCUUUCAUUUGGACUUGGGGUUAGGCUAGGCCCCUGCUUGUUCAAUAUAAUUAAAUGCUCUAAAAAAAAUUUGCCAACAACUUGGCUAAAAUUCUAAAGAGACCUGUUAUAAGUGCAAUAAACUACACAAGAGGGAAGACAACCAAGAAAAAGAAACGAGUUAAGAAUGUUGCCAUUAACAUUUGGGGUCGGUUCCAACAAUUCCAAUCCACUUACCCCAGCUUGUAUAAAGUUAGAUUCAUUUCUCAGCCCUAUCAUUUCUGCAAUUUGAUGAGAGUAGUCUUCAACACCAUCAAACAUCAAUGAGGCUGAACGGAAUGAAAUUUGCUCUUCUUCCAACAUCAUCAUCCUGUAUGUACAAGGAAAUCCAAAAUUAAAGCAAGAUCAGGACAGGUUAAUAAAAUUAUAACACAGUUGGCUAAUAAGAGAAAUGUAGCUCACCUCUUGGUCAAGCUUCCAGAAGAAAGUACCUCCUGCGCAGUUAUUUUCACAUUUGCCACCCAGAUGACAUCUCUACCAGUAGGCCACCUAAGAGGAAUUUUGUACUUCACAGGUGGAAGAACUAAACAAUUUUGCCUCAUUCCAUACUCACAAUGCCGGUCAUAUUCAUUGCCAUCAGAAAGACCUAAGGCAAGAUUCUCCGAAACAUUGAAGCAGGGAACAUGAUUUUCAAACUCCUGAGGACAGAAUUCCAAGUCUCUCAACCUUGAAGAACCAAGAGAAAGCUCUCCAAUAUGCCACAGAUCGGAAACAAGUUGCUGUUGGAGUCGCCGAUAACCAUGGUAUACGCGACCUCUUGAAGUCGUUGAGAUGGAGAUUGUCCACCAAAAGGAUCCAGUAAGAGCAAGAAUAACAAUCAAUACUAAACUUAACUUCAACAGUAGCAGCGCUAACUUGUGCCGACUUCUAGGAGUACUGGCUAUUAAAGGAUCAGAUGCAAAGCCGUUUCCAGUAUUUCCAUGUUUGGAAGGAGAAUUGUCUGGGAAAAGUACUCGAAUAGGAAACCUAAAUGCAAUACUGUUGUUAUCAGAAGAAGCUCUUCUUUCCAAAUCUUCUUUAUCUGUUUUAUCUUUCAUUUGGGAGUCCCAAAAAUCAUUGCUAUUCCCGGAGAUCCGUUCCCCCGCUGCCCCAGAUGAACCUCGAUGCAGAGGUCUGGACAUUCUUAAUUUCAAUUGACGGAGACCAGGGAGCAAGAAUCUGUUCAAUAAAUAUAAAUAAAUAUAAAUAAUCUGUAUACAAGCAAAAGAAAUCCAGGAAAAGCUCAAACAAAAGAGAAACAAGCUGAAACGUGAAAAGGACAGAAACCCAAAGAUGUUCUUACUUAAAUCCUAAGAAAAUUUCAAAACGAGAAUAAUCCUUCAUUAAAAAAAAAAAAAAAAAAAAAAAGCUUUCUUUUUUCUGGUGAGGCCGAAACUUCAUUCAAAAGAGCUGGACAUAAAGAUUCGAUAAAACCCAGGAUUGAUUUCUACCUAACAAGCUUAAGUAGAGGAAAGGAUAAAAUGGUAUCCUUGAGCAUGAUCAUUUCCUAACUAGAUCCAUUAACCCAGCACCAAGAGACCCCAUCAACAUUCGAUCAUGAAAAGAAUAAACCCAGAAAGGAAGACAAAGUGCAAUUAAGAUUUACAGAAAUAAAGGGGCAGUAAAGCAUAUGCAUUUCGGUAUAACUAAAGAUUUGGAUCAGUUCCCUUACCGAAAAACUUAAAAUUUUGGAUCACUUUCAGUUCCCAAAUGAACUGGUAACAAAAGGGCAAGCUCAUUUCUAUUCAAAAUUCACUUUUAAAGACCCAGAAAAACAAGUUGAGCAAAACCCAUUUGAGAUCAAUCCACAACUUAACCAAAAAUAGUGGCUACUUAAACUGCAAUAGAGCCAAAUGUAGCAAAAGUCAGAAGCAGUAGCAGAAGAAAAACAGUACCUUUUUAAUUAGGGGAAGAGCAGAGGAGAGGUGAUGGAUAAAGGGAAUAAACAGUAAGAAAAGCCAAGAAAUUCUUGGACAUCAGUAUGAAUCCAUAGCUAGACUUGCUUGUCUUGGUCUGCUUAUGCCACAAACGCUUGUUCUACAGUGAGACUCCGAUUACAUCUCACUUGGGUCUCUUCCUCCCACUUUGCUCAAUGCUUUAGCUUAGAGAGAGAGAGAGAGAGAGAGAGAGUUGAGAGAGUGAGGAGAUUUUGUACCGAUCCAAUCACGACAGAGCUCGUGAAAAUUGAAUACUAUGUAUGAUAUGUAAUAUGAAAAAGAAAUAUACACAACUGUAGAGAGAAAGUAUAAAUAUUAAUUUAUUUUAUAUAAUCGUUCAUAAUAAAUGCUGGGUUAUAUGAUAUCAUAUACAUAGUGAACACGCUAUGUCUUCUUACCAUGCAGAGUGCACCGCCGCUGUAAAUUCUCACUUUAUUAUUUUAUGUCACAAAUAAAACCCCAAUUCCCACAAUUCCACGUUAAAUUCUGGUGGGAAGAGAAAGUGUGGCAACAUGGUCUUCCACGAAAGAGACCUCUCCUUCCCCCUAUUUUCGCUCUACAAUUUGGCAUCACUAGUCUUUCUCUUUGGACUCGAAACUGGUUUGGUAUGCGAAAAGUUUGGGACAAAUUUAAAGGGUUAUCUUCCUUUUUUACAUACAUAUAAUAUUAACAUUGAAAUGUUAUGAACGCGUGACAAAUAAGUUUUUUUUCAGAUGAUCGUUAUAAAAUAGAUGAUUUAUGACUUCGGUAAGUAAAUUUAAAUUGUUGUGUGAUCUUUACUUGUUGAAUCAACUUUUAGACAUUAAACAGAUAUGAUUUCACUUUUAAAAAUUCUUGUGAGAAAACACAGCUAAUUUUCAAAUUAAAGAAAUGUUUUUUUUAUACCAAAAAAACCUUGCCCUGAAAAUGUUUUAAGACUAUGGAAUGGAUGGGCUUUUUGGGAAGAGUCCCCACUCAAUCUUCCAAAAUCCAAAGAAUUGAAUUUCUCUUUAUAGAAAGCAAAGGGAGGAAUUUACUAGCUGACCUCCUCUGUGGCUCGUGUCCAUCUAGGCUAUGUGCAAAGGUAGAUCUGAGCAGUCUGUGACCCUUAAUUUAAUAAGAUUGUUUUAUGGAUCUACAAAAUAAACUUUGACUUGCCGCUGAUUUGCCGGACACUUAGCCCCCCUCAAAUAUUUAUCUAAUGCCUCUAAACAAUCUUAUAACUCAUACCAACCUGUGCACUUGCUUCAGUUCUCACUAGCUCCACUCAUUUAAUAUUGUACACCAACGUAGAGAAACAAACUUUCAUUGUAUUUUGCGGACAUGAAUUUAGUUAAGUUAGUUAGAAUGAAUGUACUCUCUAUUCUACAUCCGAGUUCAAAAUUCUUUAUAUAAUUUAGAUUAGUUUAAAGUAAAUUAUCAUUUAUAUUUUAAAAAAAUAAAUUUCAUUUUAUUUUUUUGCAGAACUAAAACUUCAAUAAUGCAUACUAAAUAGAAACAAAUACGUCAACGAGAUCUAUUCUAGUAAAAAAAUAUUGUAAUUUAUAAACAAGUGGUCUCAUGUCCAAACCUCCAUGACACAUUGACAGUGUAUGUGAGAAAAUCUCCGUUCCCUUUAACUUUGCCCUAAAUAAAAAAGUGCAUCUUAAUUACCCUGUUCAAGUCUUGUGUUUAUGCACUGAAAUGCUUUUGUGGGGUUAAAAAUGGCAUAGUUGAAGGCAGAUUUUCAACCUUAAUUAUUGCAGGGUUAACAAGCAUCCAAAAGCUAAAAGGACAGAUACUGCUUUAACAUAGAUUUAACUAAGAAUCGUAAUCAUAGCAGUAAAUAAAUAAAUAAAAAUGAAGAAUAAUAAAGUAAGAAAUAAAUAAAUAACUAAUUAAUUAAUUCUCAUUAAUUAAUUGGGUGAGCUCCCUUUGACAGGUAAUUAUACAUUUUGUGGGGCCUUGGGUGUGAGAAUAUGGAUGAUUUGGGACAGAGAAUCAGGGAAAGGGAAUCCCUCUACAAAUGGGGCAAUUCUUCUCUUCUCUUCUCUUCUCUGCACUCUUUUAAAGAAAAAUCCACAUUCCACCACAUCCUCAAGGUGAUAUUGGUAAUUUCGCUUCCUCCAAUUUGGUUCUAAUGAGCCAAUCACAUUUCAGUUCCGUGACGUGGCGGCACGGGAUUGGGUACCCUUGUGCACCUUGCCAGAGGAGAUUGAACCCUUGAAAUAAAUUAAUGGGCUUUUUUUUUUUUUCCUUCUUUUAAAUAUAUGGAGGGGCUGACUGGGGACACAUGCAUAAUUUCGGAAAAUAUUAAUAUCCAAGGGAGUCAAUUUCGGAAGUAAAAAGAAAAAAACAGGAGGUGAGGUGUGCGGCCCGCUUUGCCGCGUUACUCUGUGUCGGUGGGACUGGAGAGAUGACGUGUCGGGCAGAGGUGGACAGGUGGGAUAUGAGAGAUGUGUGCUUAACGCAGAGAAUCACUGCCCCGAGUCACAAGUGUGAGCGGGCGUUGGCGCUGUGCGUUUUGUUUGUUUGUUGUGGCGGUGGGGCGAAAACACGGAAUUGAAGAGACUGAUGACCCACGGGAGUUUAAAAAACGCUUAGACCAAAAAAAAACAAAUAACAGUAAAUGAAAGCGUUGUCAGGUAAGCGUACAUAGCACAGGACGCGUUUUAUUUCCUUGUCACGGACUGAGGGAUUAACUGCGAGUCGGCGUCCCUAUCCUAUCCAUGACGGAUUAGGUUAUUAGGGUUUGCUUGGAAUUAUUCACAGGUUGUGAACCAUUUUUUACAUUGUGGUAUAUGAGAAUUUUCAUAUGAACAUUUUCUAAUCGUCACGUGUGUGAGUUUUAAUUGUCAGAACCGUCUAUUUUAAGAUUAUCAGUUGUAUAAGAAAUUUAGUUAUCUGUCUGCGGUCAAAAUUAUUUACCAAAUUUUAUAUAUCUAUGCUACAUUUGUUAUACUAUAUCACCAUGUUAUAUAGUGGGUUAAAAUUUUAUGUAGCUAUUGUUACCCCCUUUCCUAACUAGUAUCACAAGUUUCUCUUUCGUUUCUUGGUUUGUUGUCCUAUACGAAUUGAAUUUGUGUGGCAUCAUUUUUACUUUUUGCCAACAACUCUUUGGUCAAGAAAGUUGUGUUGUUGAAUUGGAAGAAAGAAAUUCAAAACAAAAAAGGAAGAGCACUUUGAGCUCUUUAGCUUAUAAUCAAAUGUUGAAUAGAAAGAAAAAAACAAGAAGCGUUACCUUUAAAUAUUUAUUUAUAUGGGUUUGACAUUGACAUCUAGAUUAUGAUAGCUUGAGGGGAAUUGGAUGCUCUUCGUGUCUUGAUAAAGUUGGAGAAAUAUCAAUAUCUCUUCAAAGUUGCAACGAUUCGUCAACAUUUAUUUUUGUUUUUAUACGCCAACGAGGUCUAGUUAGUUAUCAAAAGUAAAAAAUUAGGUUUGAACUUUUAUGACUAGUUAUGUAUGCAUGAAAAAUCUUCGUCCUUUUUAAUUUAAACAAUCACUUGCCAAUAUAAUAUCGUAUAGGUUGUGUAAGAAAACAAAAUGAUUCAGUACUUUUUUGGGUACUUUUUUUUUAUACUGUAUUUAAAUUUAACAUUAUUUAUAUACUGAUGUCAUGAUUCAGUAAUUUUGAUGCAAUAAAAAAGGAAGAAAAAAAGACAAACAAUGUAUAGAAUACGACGAUAAUAAGCUGGGCAGUGGCCACCUUGCUCAAUCCUUAAUCCUCAAUCCUCAAUCCGCAUGGCAUGGCAGAAAUGGGGCCCUAGCAGAAAGCAGCACCAUGCUUUGCCUAAAAUGCGUCCGUACCAAAAUCUAUACAAUUUGUUCAAUAUUAUUAAUUGAAAUCCAUUUUGCAUGAUUGUCUAGUUCUAGCUUUAGUAGUAAACUUGUCCAAGGCUGCGGCCUUCCCUCUGCCACGGUGGGGUUGCUUUGCUCCCACUGAAAAUUACUCAUCAUUUUAUACUCAACGUUUUUGGAUUGUGCCUACUCCAUUCAUAGAUAUUUGGUGGGGUUUUUUUUUUCUUUCCAUAUUUGUUAAUGGAAAACAUUUAACUCCUUAAAUGAGUCAUUUCUUCUUCAAAUUACGUCUAAAUUUGACAUGUUUUUAUUAAAUUAUUUUUUAUAUUAGGAUAUUCAAACUUGAAUUCAGAGUGAUAAACACAUUCGUUCUAGUCAAUUUGACUAAAUUCAUAUCUAUAUGAAUUUAUUUAUUCUAAAUUAUGAAAAAAAUGAAGUGGGGCGACACAUACAAUAUUACUCAUGAAUUCAUAUUAAAAGAGAUACCACCAAACUAUAUUAAAAAUAUUGAUAAUUGAUUGUGUAAUUCAAUUCAGGGACAAAAAAACUACCUUAACUUCGAAGUUUAAACGCACAUUUACACUAGUUUAUAUAAUAUUUGCCAAGUAAUAAUAAAUGCAUUCAAAAUACAAAAAGUAUCUUAUCUUGAUGAUGACGAUGUACUGUUUUCUGCUUAAAUGAAGUAACAUGGUUCCUAUAAAAAUAAAAAAUAAAAAAAAACUUAUGUCCAAACAAAAAUUUAAAAACAAAAACAGAGUGUAGAUCUUGUAGACUUGUAGGGGUCAUAAUUAAUAACAUUGAUAAAGGUGUUAAUCAUACACAAGUUUAUGGUUAAUUACCAAUCCUAAUGUUUGACUUCAAUAUUUUUAAUUAAUGACAUUUUGAAAAGAUUUUUUGGAUUGGACUGGAUGGGCUGCUGUCCUUCGGUCAAAACAUAUCACGUGAGGUCGGUGUGUUUCCACAUUAGCCAAUUCACAUCAACCAUUUGACUUAAGUAGUAGGCAGAACCCCAUCACAGCUAUGUUUACAUUGAAACAAACAAAAAAAAGCCACAGAAAAAAACGAUUUUGCUAUAAUUAUGGCUAUAGUAGCAGUAAUGACAAAAUAAUCAGCCAAAUGGUGGACCACCUAGGGUAAUUACCAUGGUCUUUACUUUAGUCUACCAAAAAAUAAAAGUAAAAAUUAAAAAGUCAACCAUCCACCAUGCAUUUACUUGUAAAUUUGUAAAACUAAGUUCAUAUAUGCAGAUUUUUCAAUAAGUAUUUUAUUUUAAAAAUUUGUUAAAAAUUUCUAAUCUGAACUUUGUAUUGCAUAUAUGUUGCACAUUAAAUCUACCAAUACAUCUAAUGAAUACAAUCCAAUGAUCGAUCGAGAUUAAAAAUAUGUAAUCAAUUCUUAAUUUAAAUACUUAUUGAAGAAUCUCUCAAUUAAUAAAUUAAUAUUAUUUGUAAUUUGUUUCCAUUAUAUAUAUUUUAGAGUGAUGAUUAGUGUGUGUGGUCAGUGAGUGUUACGUUAUAUGUCAAGAGGGCCAUGAUUUCAUGAUAAGAUAACAUACAAAUCAUCGAAAAUGCUCAAAACGCGGUAUUUUGAAUAUUUGUAGUUGUCGUUUUGAAAGGUAAUUAAUUAUUGUGUUAACAAGAUAUUUGAUUUGAUGUUUAUGUCGUCCUCCACUGGGGAAGAUUCUCUGGGUAUCGCUUAUAUCCACCCAUCUGUAAAGCACUAGCAGCAUGCCAGCCAUUAUAAUUAAUUUUACUCGUCAAAUUAAUCAGUUCAAGACUAAAACUUACUUGCUUGAAGAUUAAUUUAACACUUGGGGUUUGAUAUAUUUUCAAUUGUAGCUUCUGUUAAAAGUUAGGGUUUGAGAACACCUCAAGGGUGGUCGGUUAAUUAUCAUUCAGGCACGGAGGGCACUAUAUUGUGUUCUCUUUAUUUGUAAUCCAAAAGGCGAAGUAAAAUCAUAAAUCGAAAGAAAAUUUAUUUUACCAAGUAUAUAACACUAAUGUGGAGGGAAGAAAAAAAGGUUACAUAUUUUCACUUUUAAUUCAAUUUAACCACUAUAGUUUAAACAUGGGCAUAUGAUUAUAUCCUGACAAAAGUCCAACACAAGCCACUCAAAACUGAAAUUUGAUUAGACAUGCCCCAACCCAGGCCUCACAUCACUUGUCUUAUUUUACAAUAUCUAAAGAGAAUUCUUUCCACCCAAACCCAACUUAUUUUUCAUGUUCCAUUAAAAACCCAACACCACUCUGAUUAAAAUUCCAUUUUACCUACUUCUAAUUAUUAGUAGGCAUUUCAUUGAAGGAGCCCACCCCAUCACCCCAACACAAACUUAUCAAUACUUGGUCAUUUUCAUGUCGACUAUAUGAUGCUUUUGACAGCAAGCAAUGUCUCGUUUGUAUACUUAUAAUCCCUUUCCUUAUAAAAAGUAGACUAAAACCGCAAAAAAGUUUCAAGUGUCUCACUUUGAGAGCCAUAAGAAAUGAACCGCACAAAAUUAAUCACAGCCAUGGCAAUAUGGCAUGUUGGAAUGGAUAAGCUUAAGCCCCACUGCAUGUGAUGGCUUUAAAUGAGGGCACUUUGAUUUCCCAUCUUGGUGAUUUGGAUGAUGAAGACAUAGCCCCAUGCUCAGCUUGAAUUUGAUCAUGCAUAAUUCAUGCACCAUGUGACCUCUCCACAUCACUUCUUGCUCAUAUAUAGCUAGGUUCACUUCUAUCUUGAUUCCUUGAUCUAAACAUACAAAAGAUUUGCAGUAAUAAAUAAAACUAUUUUAAGAUACAAACCACUUUAAUAAGUCAAAUUUGAUUGGAUAAUGAAGGACUCGAUCGCUUGAUAACACUUUCGUUUUUCCCGUUCAAUGUGUCAUUUUUAAAGAAAGAGAUAUAUAAAAGAACAUAGAAAAUGAUAUAAAAAGGAUGGGAGAAUAACGGAAGCAUGAAAAGAAGAUGGAGGAAUGAGGGUUAAAAGAACAAUAACUCAAUAAACAAGAAAGAGAAAUAUUUUAGUUUUCGUUCUAUGUACUAUUUCACGUAGAUAUUCUUCUUCUCAUAUAUAUUAUUUUAUUUUCACUAUCUUUUCAAAAAAAUAAAAGAAUCAUGUUAGGGAGACCAAUUUUAGAUACCAACUUGUGUAUCAUUUCUCUAAUAGAGGUGGAGCCCACCAAUACAAUGGAUCACACGCUCUAUUAGAAAGAUAGUACACAAGUUGGUAUCUAAAGUUGAUCUCCCUAGCAUUUUCUUAAAUUAAAAUUGAAAUUGUUAUUAAAGGACGCUAAUUUCAACGGUAGAACACUUUACGCUACACAUAUGGACAAAAAUUGGAAUCUUGCUUUCCUCUACCCUUCAAUCGAAACAAGAAGAUACAGUUGAGAGACGAAUAGAAAAAAAUUCGCAGGAUUUUUUCUUGAUGUACAAUACAAAUACAAAACAUUUCUCAUCACAGAAAAACGCCCAAGUUACGAUACGACUUAUUAGAUGUCAACAAUCGAAUCUGCACUGCCUGGUAUCAAUCACAUUUUGGAUCCACCUAAAUACCCAUCUAAUCAUGCAAGAUAAACGGACAAAAGGACAUAUUGGAUUGGGAUCAUUUUAGACGGAAUUUUUUGCCACCACAAAUUAAACCAUGCAAUGUCAAUACCAUUCUUUCAUUGACCACCUACAAGUUUCUUUGCCUUGUGAAUGCUACGUGAGUGAUGCUGCUCACGUUGAGAUUGGUAGCAUAAAUUGUUUUAGAGCAAAGGGUAGCAAUCAUGUCAAGUCAAAUUAUGUUUAUUAAGGAACUAUCGAGUAUUAAUCAAUCUUAAUAUGUCUUGUCUAUUUAAUCAUGAAUAGAGAUUAACCCGACUUGUUAGUUAAGUAUCCUCAAGUGGCACAUGUAUCUGAUUAAGAUUUGUAAUUUUUUUUAGUAGAUAAUCGAAGUGUGAGUAGAUAUAUUUUUGUAACAUGUUUGUAUGGAUCAUUUGUGUUUUAUGCUGAGGAUUCUUGCAUCACCUAACAUGUCUAUGUGGUGUGGUGUGGUGUGUAUCGAAUUCACCAAAUUAUAGAGCAUAUACAAUCAUUUUUUAAAAUAUAUUUUAAAUGACCAUAAUGCUUUAUUAUUGCUUCUACAUAUGUUAUAAUAUGAAUGGAUUUAAUACACUGUAUAGGCGCACCGACUUGGUAUAUUAUAUACAAUGACGUAGUCGUUAUUUUUUUGUUGAAGUGAUAUUUUAACUACUCUAAUGUGCAAGGAAGAGAAUCGAACUUGAGUAUAAAAGGGCGGACACACUAACCUUACUCAACUAGCCUGACCCGCAUUGCACAAUAAUGUAGCAGUUGAUUGUGUCAUCUUCACUUGUUAAUUUGGUAUGGAAUUCUUAUAUCCCGUUUAAAAUUGUAUCCAAAAAGCUGGACCGUCCAUGCCCCAAGUUCAUUGAUAAGGGGCAUGAUCUUGUAGCCAUAGUCACGUUACUCUCUGCUUAGCUAGUACUUGAUUGUCGUGCUUACUUAAAAUUCCAACUCAAACCAAAUCCUUUCUGCAUUAAUUACUUAACCAAUUUUCAUCUAACAGAUGUCAACAUUCUAUACAUUCAAAAAUGGAUGCAACUAUCGACAUUGAGACAAAAUUGAAAUUGAGGAAUUUAAAAAUAAAUAAAUAAAUAAAAUUUUGACCUAGAUAAAUACCAAACAAUAUUAUACGUGUUAAGAAUUAUUUUUCCUGUCAACCAAACGAAGCACUGCAGUAUUGUUCUUUGGUUGAGUUCCUGAAUCUUGUACGUAAGCCAAGCCAAGGUCCAUUACAGACAAACUGGAAGACAGAAAAACUGUAGGAUCAAAAGCGAUUUCCAAAAGCUAAAAAAUACAUGCAUAUUGCUUGUUUAAAUAUGAAUCAGAAAUCCUUUUCCGAUACCCUACGUAGCUGUUUGAUUGUUUCUAGUCUUUUAUUUUCUUGUAGGUCCAUCAACAAACACAAUUAAUUUAACAUCACUAUUUUCUUCCCUUUUUUGUUUCUUGUUCAUCCCAAACUUGAGACAUUUCAACAAAACGCAUCAACCAAAUUAUAAUUAUAAUUAUUUAACAAAACAGCCCGUGAUAUAGCCUCACCAAGUUUUGUUUGAUCAGUUGGGGGUUGAGAUGAGUCUAAUAAAUUGCCCACUAGACUUCCAUUCCAUGGCAUCUCAAAGAGAAUAAUCAUUUGGUUGAGACUGAGAGUGGGACAGAUAUAAUAACCAAAUUGUAUUUGCACCAACCACUUGCGCCUUGGCCAAUGUUAUUAUUAUUAUGAAUGAGAAGGAAAGGGCAAAAUUAACGGAUAAAUUAAGGACCACUGUGAUCACUGUAUUAUGGUAUGAACGAUCCACCAAAAAUAGACUCUUUACAAGUCACUUAUAGACUGUGGCUUAUAUUCAUGUUCGUUACAGACAAUCCGUGAUUAAAGGGUGUUGGUCAUAAAUUAUGUGAUUAUUGUAGUUAUAGGUGUUGUCAUUAAUUUUAUGCCCCUUGUUCUAGUAGUUCUUUUAGCUUCAGGUUCUGCAAUUAGUUCUCCAAUGCUUCCAGAUUUAAAUCUGUUUGACAUUAAUAUUAGUUAAAAACAAGUAUGAUCGUUUGAAAUUAGCAAAAAAUAAAAAAACAUUUGGGGUGAGAGAGGCUCGAACUCUCGACCUCAGGAUAACUCAGAAGCUAUGAGACCUACGCGCUAGCCAACUGCGCCACCACCCCUCGAUGUUAUUUUCUGUCCAAAACAUUCUAAUUAUUCGCUUCAACAGGUCAAUCUAGACUCAUCUUGAUUUCAGCAUAUAAGCCCUUUUAGCCCAACGAACUUAGUUGAAAAGCACCAAAGUCAGCCCAUAAAGUUGGUUACUGGGGCUAUAUAAUUCUUGGUGCUAUCUCUUCUAUAUUAAUGGGCCUAAUGGGCCUAUUGGAUUGCUUUUAUCAAAUAAAUUUAUUUUGACCCAAAAAGGUAACUUGAUAAUAAACUACUUAUAUAAUUCAUAAAUUAAAAGGAAUUUUAAGAUCGUUAUUGAAUAUGACUUGACGAAGGCAUCAAAGAAAUCUUGGGAAACUCUAGCCCCCUUUCUUCCAAAAAAUAUUUUUAGAGCCUUUUCCACUUUGAGGGGGGAGGAAGCCAUUGUUCUUCCUCUCUCUCCCCUCUUCUCUUCCUCUCUUCCUCCUUUCACCUCUUCCCCCAUUUUCAGAGACAAAGGGUUUUUCCUAUUUGUCUUAGUUUUGUUAUGAUUUUCAUCCAACCAUUAUAGGCGGCUGCGGCUCAGCGUCGGAUCUUCACCUGCAUUUCGGCGUCGGAUCUCCACCACCAUCUUUUUUGCAAUUUCUUUAUGUUUGGAAUAAGUUGCAUAGACUCUUUGGGUUAUCUGUAUAGUUUUCACCUCUCAUUUUGUGAGAGUUUUUCAUCUCUCCUUUGUGAGAGCUUUUCAUCUCUCCUUGGGGAGAGUUUUAUUUGUAUUGUUCUGGCUUAGUUUUUUCAAGCUUUAUCUCUUUUCUAUUAUUCUAAGUUUGCAAUCUUAGUUGGGAUGCCUAUGCCAGAGUUUCUUCGAUCUUGCCUGAUCGUUAGUGGAAACAUACCUGAUUUUCUUAAUUUUGAUAUUAGACCGCUCCGUUAUUGUAAUGGCCCUUUGUGGCUAGUAACUUUUUUGGCUGAAUUAUGAAUGCAAUAAUAGAAUUUCUCAACAAAACAAAAAAAGAUCGUUAUUGAAUCAAAAUUAAAAGGACCCUAAACCUCCUUAGUACCAAAAAAAGUAAUUAUAGUGGAGUAUUGGAAUACAGCCACAUGAUAACUCAUUCAUAUGUUAUUCACUCAUAUUGUGUAACAUGUGGACGGGUUAUAUCAUAUAACUAUGUUGCAGUAUCAUAUAAUAAUUUCUUCACAAAAAGAGAUUGUUAACUACUAUAAAUUAAUCUAAUUUAUAGAAAAAGGAAAUCGAACUCAAUGCAAAAGUACGAACAUACUAUCUUGACAAACUGGCUUAAUCCAGGUCGUACUUUUAAUUAAUUUGAAGUAUGUAUAAUUGAGAAUGGUAGAGUGAGUUUGUAUCCAAACAAAAUCUUGAAAUUAUUGGGUCACAACGUUAAUUCCUCCCAAAAACGUAGCGUUGGGCCCACUGUUAUAGUUAGUUCAUCUAUAAAAAGGUUAGUGACAUCCCAACUUGCCUAACCAGACUUUUCUGCUCCUAUUAAGUUCGUUAGUCAGAAGAAAAAAUUACAUGCAACGAGGCGUUAAGGUCGACAUGAGCAAUGGUUUUGUGGGCUCUAAUGACCUACAUAGACAGUGUUUUGGAUUAAAGUAUUAAAAUUUCAUUGGAUUUUCUUGUAUUAUUUCUGAUUUCAAGUAGCAAUGAUUCAUAAAAAAACAACAAUAUAGAAGUCAAAAAAUAAAAAAUAAAAAAUUGUUGCAAGUAUUUAUCUUGUUUAUGCAUUAAAUUUAAAUCUAUCAGGCAUAGCCUCUUAUUUUAGAUUUUUAUAUAUUGAAGUUUGAAUUUAUAUAAUUUAUUUGUCAUGAAUGGGAAAUUUUUAGUUAAUUUGAAUAAGUUAAAUCUUGAUUGAAAAAUGAGAGUGAGUUUAGCACUUAAGUGAAAAAACAUAUAUUUGAAACUUGUUGGAAGCACUUUGUGGUCAGGGAUAAGCCAAACUCCGAGUAUGGAUUAAUUCCACUUUACGAGUGUGGGGACACCUCAUGAUAUUUACAAAAAAAAAAAAACAUAUUAUAUAUAUAGGGGCCCUGGUCAAUCUGUUAGUAGAAUAAUUGAACAAGAAAACCCUUAUUUAUUUAUUUUAUAUAUAUAUAUAAAUACAAACAAGAAAACCCAUUUUAUUUCUAUAUAAAAAUAAAAAUAAAUUUUUUUUAUAAAAAAAACCCUAUUUUAACUCCUACGGUACUUAUCAAUUUAGCAAUUUAAGAGUAAGGGUAUUCGGGUAAUUUUGGCAAUCAAAUAAAACCCUUAGGGGUCGUUUGGUACACAGGCUUGGCUUGGACUGGCUUGGACUAAAUUUAGUACCAUGUUUGUUUCAUUUAAUUCUAGUCUUAGAUGGGAUUGCUAAUACCGGGCCCACCAAAAACACCUCCUUAGGAGGGGACUACUAAUCCCAUGUAGAAAGGGAGGAUUAGCUAGUCCUAUAUUUACCAAUGUAUGAGAUGCAUAUAUUAUAUUGUAAUACUAGUAACAUAUAUUACUAUUAUUAUUAUUAUUACAUACACAUAUACUAUAAUGUACAUAUAUACAUGUAUAUACACAUAUACAAGUAUAUAUAUAUACACAUAUAUACAUAUAUAAUAUAGUAUAAAUACAUAUAGAUAUAUACACAUAUAUUAUUAUUAUAAUAUACUCAUAUACACAUACAUAUUAAUAUUAUAAUAAUAGCAUACAUGUAUACAUGUAUAUAUGUAAUAUAUAUUAUAUUAUAUAUUAAUGUACAUAUAUACACAUAUAUACAUGUAUAUAUAUAAACACAUAUAUACAUAUAUAAUAUAUAAAUACAUAUAUAUUACGUAUAUACACGUAUAUAUGUAAUAUAUAUUAUUAUAAUACAUGUAUAUAAGUAUAUAUACAUAUAUGUGUAUAUAUUAUACCCAUGUAUGUAUUAUAAUAUACAUAUACACACGUAUAUAGACAUAUACAUUAUAUAUUUAUACUAUAUGUAUAUAUAUAUAUAUUAUAAUAUACAUAUAUACACGUAUAUACAUGUAUAUUAUUAUUAUAACAUACCCAUAUAUAUUAUCUAUUAUAAUAUACAUAUGUAUAUGUAUAUGUAUUAUACCCAUGUAUAUAUUAUAAUAUAUAGAUACACCUAUAUACAUAUAUAUUAUAUACAUGUAUAUAUGUAUAUAUAUAUGUAUAUUAUAAUAUAUAAUAUAUAUACAUAUAUUAUACAUAUAUUAUAUAUACAUAUGUAUUUUAUAAUAUAUAUAAUAUAUGUAUAUAUACAUACAUAUAUAAUAUACAUAUAUAUACGUAUAUAUGUAUAUUAUUAUUAUUAUUAUUAUUAUUAUUAUAACAUACCCAUAUAUAUUAUAUAUUAUAAUAUACAUACAUAUAUAUAAAUAUAUGUAUAUGUAUUAUACCCAUGUAUAUUAUAAUAUGCAUAUAUACACCUAUAUACACUUAUAUAUAUGUAUGUACGUUUAUAUUAUUUAAAAUAUAUAAUAUUAUUAUAAUAUACUUAUAUACAUGUAUAUACAUAUAUAUUAUAAAAUACAUAUAUACAUAUAUAUAGAUAUUUUUGAAAAAAUAAAAAAAUUAUAGUCCUAGUCCAAGUAUACACCAAACGCAGGAUAAGUGUUAUCCAACUUAGACCAAGCCAAGCCAAGCCAAGCCAGUCCCUAAGCAUAGUCCAUGCCAAGACAGUCCUGUGUACCAAACGAGCCCUAAUUCUUUUCCCCUUCACUGUCAUAGACGCUCACCUUCCUCUCCGACUCUCUGUAUUCUAUCUCCCUUUCUCCAUCUCUCUCUACAUUGCCGCCGGCGGCCAGAUUUCAGCUUCUUCUCUUGUCCUAUGUGCUUUGCCCUUUUUCUACGCUCGCUCUGUAGCUGUAGAAGUGUUUCAUCAAUUGAUAGCAAUUUAUUGUACUGAAUGAGAGAGAAAGCUUUGAUCAAAGAUGUUUUAUUUAUUUGUUUUCUUCGACUCCUUGUAAGAUUUUUUUAGCCAAUUUUUGUGUGUUUACAUGCUGUGUCUGAGCACUUUUGGAAAGCACGAACGAGCAAAAACUCAAUGCUAAUUGCAAAAACACGACACAUUGCUAUUCAGCUGAUGUAUACUGAACCAGACCACAAGUUGUUGUAGCAAUCAAUACAAUAUAACACUGUUGCUAAUUAUAAACAAUUUCAAAAAAAAUCCAUCUAACCAUCGCAUUAAUUCAAAGGUUAUUAAUGAAAAAAAUGUGAACUUAAGAGUCACAGAGGAAAGCACCAAACAGAUUAAAAAAGGGGCUGCUAUGAAAAUUUAUUUAAGCACACCAGGGGAGGCUUUCAACAUCUAUUUAAGCACAUGCUAAGGGUAAAAAAAUUUGAAUUCGUGUGCUAACACUAGACUGACGUCAGCUCCCCUUCGGGCUCGAGUUCGGGCCAAAUUUGUCUUCAGGCCAGCCCGACUUCGUGAGACCUAGAGGUGGGCAUUGGGACUGGAAAACUGGAACACCGAACUGAACCAGUGAAAAAAAUCUGAAAAAAAAUCGGUUGACCAAAAAAGUCAACAAACCGGACCGGAACCAGUUCUGGUUUUACACCCCACCCCACCGCACCGGAUCGGACAGGUCAUAUAUAUAUAUAUUUACAAUAUUUUAAAAUCUAAUGCCAUAUUUUAAAUUUUAUAAUCACUAUUUUUCCAAGUUCAACUUCAAAAAAUUUAUAAAUGUAUGAAUUGGAUUAUUUGUUAAUUUUUAAGCCAAAAAAAUAAGUUAUUUAUUAUUAUUAUUUUCUACAAAAAAUUAAAAAAAAUAUUUUGUUUUUUUUAAAAAAUAAAAAAAAUAAAAAAUUAAUAAUCCGAUUCAAAACCGAAACCGGUCAGAACCGAACCGGCAUGUUUUUGAAAUUUUUUUUGUCUAAACUGGACUGAUUAAAUAGUAUCGGUUCUGAUUUGAGGUGAGAAUCGGAUCGAACCAGACCGCGCCCACCCCUAGUGGGACCCACACCCAGCCCGAAAGGCAUUUUUCUUCUUGGGCCUCCCCUUGCCCCAGCCCGAGCGCAACGGUGGAAUUGCUCUAAGAGCUGGACUAGGUAGGCCUAUAACCUCAUUAGGUAGGCUUAAUGUAGUCCAGCCCAAAUUAAGACCCAAAAACACGCGAGCACCAGGUCUGCGUCUUCGUUGUUUCAACCGUCAAAUCGUCGAGCUUGUCUUCACCAAACCUACGAUUUUUGCUCAAAAUCAUAAGUAGGUACGAGUACUUGUCUUUUUAAAUAUCAGCUUCUCAGAUAGUUCCCCAAAUACCCAUUAACUAGAAGGCGGGGCAUUUUGAAAAAGGUCAAAGGAGAGAGAAAUCUUUUUAAAGAGCCAAAAUGGACAAAAAUGCCAUUAUUUAUUUUUGGAUUUCCUAAGGAAUUCUUUACACUUGCAUGUCUUUAGUUUGAAGUUGAAAGGUUUUUCUGUAUUUUUAAGAAAAAUUUUGACUUUUUCCAAAAGUGAAAUUUUUUUUUUAUAGCUAAAACAUAAAUUUACUUUUGUGUUCAAUCGUAGUUUGAAGAGGAGCAGCAGCCAAAAUCUGAGGUACCCUUUUCUUCCGAAUUUUUUAUUUAAUUUCGAAUUUAAAAUUCUAUCAAUGAUGUUAAAUUUCCUAGAAUAUAAAGCUUUUAAAUGGGCUUUUGAAGGCCCAAACAAUUUUAUACCCAGCAAAGAUUCUUGUGCAGCUCUCUCUGGGUCACUCACGUUUUGAACUUCUUCCAGGUCCCAUAGGAACCCCCUCUUCUUUCUCCAUUCUUUUAGCUUGCUGCUGUCGCGCCGGAGCUGCAACUACCCGGUUAGUAUUUUUUAUUCAUAAUCACUCCCUCAGAAGUUUAUGCUUGAUUUCUUGAUGUUUUUCCCUUCAAUUCUACAUAUUUUAUAUAAAGAGUUUACUGGGUUUUCUUAGAUCAACUGUACCAACUUGAUGGAGUGCGUGGUUCAGGGAAUUAUAGAAACACAGGUAAGUACUUUGAUAAUGUGGGGGUUGGGUUAGGCUUACAUUUUGUUAUACAAUUUCUGGAAAUGCCUCUAAAUUCUGAUCACUUGAUAGCACACCUAUGUAUUGCUGCUAGGGGAGAAAGAUUGAAUCUUCUGCUUAGAGCUCACUUUUUGACACAUAUCUUCUAACCAUGUUUACCAAAUUGUUCAUUGGAGGCUAAUAUGCGAGAAAGGAAGAAAAUCUAUAUUUGGUUUUUUAUUGAGUAGUUUUUGUUUUCUUGCAUGUACAAGUUAUUCAUGAUUAUGGACUCUAUUUUGUUCACGAUUGGAAAUAGAUCCCUAAAAGAACCCCUUUUCCCCCAUCUGUGGUUAGUUGCUGUAGCUGCAUCUAAAAUAUGGUUUUCAUUUGCAGCAUGUUGAGGCCCUUGAGAUUCUUCUUCAGGGUCUUUGUGGUGUUCGCAGAGAAAAUUUGAGGGUCCAUGAGAUAUGUCUUAAAAGUGGCCCGAACCUUGGUAAUUCAUUUCUUUUCCUCUUUUCAUAUUGAGCUGUGUGGCUAGAAUAAUGUGCACAUUUUCUAUACAAUUAAGCCAAAGUCAGAAUAGUCAAUUUUCCUCUUUUAUGGACUCAUUUAAAGAGAUGUUGAAAGCCUUCCCUGGUGUGCUUAAAUAAAUUUUCAUAGCAGCCCGUUAUUUUUUAAUCUGUUUGGUACUUUUCCUCUGUGACUCUUAAGUUCACAUUUUUUCAUUAAUAACCUUUGAAUUGAUGCGAUGGUUAGAUGGACUUUUUUGAAGAUUUUUAUAAUUAGCAACAGUGUUAUAUUGUAUUGAUUGCUGCAACGACUUGUGGUCUGGUUCAGUAUAUAUCAGCUGAAUAGCACAGAAAGAAAUUAUUUUGUAGGCCGUCCUAGUAAUGAUCUUCCUUUCUAUAGGGGCUGUAGCUUCAGAGGUUCGACUUAUAUGCAAUCUUGAGCAAACUGAACCAACAUGGUAAGACUUAAAAACCUGCCUUGUCAUAUUUAUUAACACGUGGAAAUUUGUGUUUUACACAUACAUGUGAUUGUAUCUAUGCCAAAUUCUGAAUUUUGUAGGACCGUAAGGCAUAUAGGAGGUGCAAUGAGAGGUGCAGGUGCUGAGCAAAUUUCAGUUCUAGUAAGAACAAUGGUCGAAAGCAAAGCAAGCAAGAAUGUGCUUCGCUUAUUUUAUGCACUUGGCUACAAGUUGGAUCAUGAGCUUUUGAGGGUGGGAUUUGCCUUCCAUUUCCAGAGGGGCACACAGAUCACUGUGACUGUGUCAUCAGUUAAUAAGAUGCUACAACUGCAUGCCACAGAUGAGGCUGUCCCUGUAACUCCCGGGAUACAGUUGGUAGAAGUGACAGCCCCUGCUACAUCUGAAAACUAUACUGAAGUGGUAGCUGCAGUAUCAUCUUUUUGUGAAUAUCUUGCGCCGUAAGUUUUUUUUUCUUUUCCCUUUUUAUUUAUUUAUAGAAAAGCAUUAAAGCCCACCUACCUACACAUGCUUGUUGAUCUAUGCCUCAUGGCGAGGGGUCCCAGUGGUCCAAGCUUGAAAACCGAACAGACUAGUCCAUUCCACGCUUGAAAACCUAACAGACUAGUCCAUUUUUGUCUUGCAUAUCUAGUGGCUGGAUACCCUCUAUCAUCUUUUUCAUAAACAAGUCUUUAUUGGGUGAUCAGCGACGGUCCAAAGGGUCCCAAUUGAAUAUUUCUUGCACCGUUGUUGAUCAUAUUAUAAAUGAUGAGGCAUUCAAUAGUGCAUAUAGGAAAACUGUUUUUAAGGUUUAUGAUGACUUUAUAUUGAAAAUUUGUUUAUUCGACAACGUAUUCAUUCACCUGGAAUUGAUUUCUCAGGCUCCUGCAUUUGUCAAAACCGGGCAUUUCAACUGGGGUUGUUCCUACUGCUGCUGCGGCUGCUGCAUCUCUCAUGUCAGAUGGUGGGGGUACGACCUUAUAGCAGAAGUUGUAAAUUGCUUUAAGUAUCUCAUGUCAAUGUUGAAUGAUAUACAUGUAUCAUCUACAGCAAUCAGAACUGCUUGUCAAACUUCAUGUUAAUUCCCCAAAGUAGUUUUUCCAUAACUUGGAACUUUAGAUAGUUGUGUUGGUGACAGUUCCGCACAUGUAGUCGUGAUUGUCAAUGACAAUUACAGCUCUCUCUUUUCCCCAGGCAAUCUAUUCAAUACUAAAUGAAACAUUUAGCAUUUGCUAGUUAAAAGAUCAAAUGCUAAACUAGCCUGUGAAAAACGGCUAAGUUAGCCCUAGAUCAUUAGGAGUGUUGGCAUCGAGUAGGCGCUGCAGGAACGGUCGACUAAACCCUUCUUGUAAUGAUGCUAAAAAACUAAUUAUCUUUCAUAAAUGAAACCCAGUUAGUGAUAUUGUAUAUGCAGGCCUCCACUUUGUUGCCACUGACUUAUUAGCACUUUCUACAUUUCCACUCCAAACCACUUCGUCCAGAUCCCAUUGCAUUGCAUUAUUGCACUGCUUUUUAUUCGUCUUUUUUGUUUUUUUCUAGGUGAAGAGUUGAGUUCCUAGAGUAGCAUCCUAGAGUUCCAAUAAAGCCUAGAAUAAAGGAGGUAAAACAUAUUUACACAGAUCAUACACACUGAUUAUCAGAACAAUAAAUAAGUGCAGUCUUAAACUUGUUUCAAUAUGUUUGAUUUAUUCUGCUUGAAAGAAAGAUCCCUGUCUUUGUUAGUUGCCACUUGUAGCCACAUUUCCAUGCAUUGUUUGGACAUAAAAAAGUCUCGUUGAACAUGAUUAAUUGUCAUGACAUAAGAAACGUCUUUAACGUGAUUGCAUGACAUAAGAAACGUCGAGUGGUGUACAACAAUGGGAUGGGAUUAGGUGGUGAAAUUUAUCUAUUUGAAUUGAGAAAAAAAGGGAGGAAGAAACCUAAUCAACCUUGAUUUUCUAUGUUGCUUUGACAACCAUGACCAACUAUUUAACUACAAGAAUCAGGUUGAGUUAGUGUCGCUGUUGAACGGAAAAUUUUCACAAAAGCAAUUAGCCAAGAAUUUGACUUGGGUUAGAAUUGAAUUUGUUUUGUCCCUGCAAUCUUAUCAAGAAAAACAUAUAAAAAUAAAAUAGAUGUAUUUCAGUGGUUUUGAAACAUCAAGAGAUAAGCAUCUCGGUUGAGAAGUGGUCAUCAGCUUGAAUUCAAACUCAUCAUAAGAUAGCCUCUAUAAGAGGCAUAACACGAGGGGAGGUUGCAGGGACAAAAAAUAAAAGGGGAGGCUCCAGAAAAAAAAAAAAAAAAGAAAAGCCUGUAAGGCCGCAAGUCUUGGGGAGAGUUGCAGGAAUGAAGAGGAAGAGCAAGCACAUAAGAGGAUUCUUGGCUCUCUAUGGCAAGGCUUCGCUCAAAGACUUCCAAGGAUGCAUCCAGUACGAUCAACCCAUGGGGGUUCUUGGCUAUGAUGAUUGAAAUCAUCACGUAUUAAGUCAAGAAACUACUCUAAGGUGUACCUCUUCUCAAGUACCUCCAGGACAGCCAGCUAUGGACUGACAGCCAAGAUGAUUUCAAUCAGCAUAUAUUCUAUUCCAACAGGCAGCUCUAAUCAAAUGCUUUCAAAGAUGUGUCCAACCUCCAAUUCAACAUCAAUUCGUGUGGGCUGAUUGUGAUGGUGGGCAAAUCACCAAAAAAAAAAAAAAUCAGAACUGGUGCACAACUCUCUUGAAAAGGGGCAUAGAGGAAAUCCUAGAGUUCUCUAGGUUUCCCUUAUUGUGGCGCCACAAAAGCCAAAGCUCGUUCAAUGAUGUUCAUCAUGAGAUGGACAAACAGCAAAAAAAUAAAUCAAACUGAAAGAAUCAAAGGCAACAAGACAGUGAGAUUUCUCUCAGAGAUGCUUUGAGCAUCCAAACCCACAAAACAAAUCUUGGAUACAAAAUCCAUCAUGGGUGUGUAACCCUCAAUCAAACACUCUGUGACCGAUCCAAUCUGGGUACAAAACCCACAAACAAAACCAUGGGGUCUGGUGCAUACAGAGGCGAUGAACUGAAAAAAGGGAAGCUGAAGACAGUCACGCUUUUCUUUGGCAGCUUGGUGUUGUUGCAUACAGCAAGAACAAACAAAGACAACGAAGAAAAGGGGCAGCCAGCAGGCUGUGGAGAGACACCAAGAAAAAUAAAUAAAGCCAUGAGGCUUGGACAAACAUGGAGAAGGCACCACAGUGCUGAAGAAAAAGUGCACGGCAGUGAUGAGGGCAUAGCCUUGAGGAGGGAGGCAGUCAUGAGGCAGUUAAAAAAAGGGCUGCUGAAACAGAGCAAACCAAAUGCUCCACCAUUUUGGCACGCUCUAAUUGCAACCACAGAAAAUAUCUAUUUGCUGGCAGAGUAAAAAUAAUAAAUCAAGGCUGGGGUGUUCAACCCACCGUCAAAAACAGCCAACUAAGGAUCUUCAUCAUAAUCCAAAAUGAGCAAUGUUUGUGUGUAUCACAUGCUUUGAUCUUAGAUUGCCCCUCCAGCAAACAAGAGAGAUCACCCCUUCUUUUCGUGAGUGUCAGCCAAAAAGAAGAAAAAAACAGCUCAUGAAUUGUUAAAGGGCUCCAAGACAUGAGACGUGUCGACUCGUUGAUGUUUAAGAGGUCAACAAUUGGGUCUCUACCAACAAAUUGGUCAGCAAAUUCAGUGACAAUAAAGCUGCACCAAAGCAAAAAGAAAGAAAACAAAAGGAAGGAAAUAAUAUUGUUGUGGAGGAGAUGCCACCACGUGAAAGACCAAAACAAGAAAGCAGCAAUAUUGUUUUGUUCUCAUUUUGCAUGCAAGAAAUAAACAAGAGGGUGGAGUCUUAGAACUUCACGGCUCCAUAUUUACUCAAGACAAGUUCGAGACAAGUUCACGGCUUCACGGCUCAAAGCUUCACAGGCCUACUUACUCAAGACAGGUUCGGGAAAGCAAAACACUAAGGCUUCACUCCUGUAAGGACCUCCAUAAGUCCGUUUGCGAUAGGGUAGUUCCGCUCAAAUUCAAAGCUGAGUCAAUCAGGUACUGCUAAAUCAAUUGAGGUGGGCUUCAUGGGUUUGUUGUACAAAGUCACAAAGGUUAUGCAACAAGUCUAAGAGCCCAAAACACAAAUCUCAAGUCCGCAAAUGAUGGAUUAUGGGCUUAAAUUCCAAAAAUGCCCAUUAACUCUCAAAUCGUCAAGUGAAGACUCAAGUGGCACAAAACCACACCAGAUGUCAAGGGGCACAAAACCACUUCAAAAGCCACAUUAAGAAAUGUGGGAAUCAACCAUUGUUGCAAGGAAGCUGUUCAGAAAAGAGUGCCAAGUGACUCAACCAUGCUGUGACUAUGACUCUAGUCCAAAUAAAUUAUUGGUCAUGCGCGGAGCAUUAAGCUCAACUCCCAAAAGAUUUUAAAGGAGCAUCAAUAUGGAUUAAUGGGUUUUGUUGAUCAAAAAAGCCCAUUAAUCUCAAAUCCUCCAAAUCAUGCAUGGAUACAAACGCAUGUGUCAAUGAUCAAAUUAAAUUGGUGGGUUCAUCAAAAUUGCCCAUUAGUUUUCUUUGAUAUUGACAAAAAGAAAAAUGGUAUAAAACCAUCCAAUUUUCCCCAUGGGUCAUCUACCCAUGCAAAUUCCAAAUGAGAUUAAAUUCAAAUAUCUCAAACACAAAUUCUUAAUUAGUGGGCCACACUUACCCAUUAAUUUUUAAUUUUUCCCAUAGGUCAUCUACCUAUGGAAAUCUCCAAAUUGUCCCAAAGAUACAAAUUCUCAAUUAGUGGGCCACACUUACCCAUUAAUUUCUAAAAUUUGGAACUACGUCGGUUUGAUCCCGUUAAGGGUACGUAGGCAGUCUAACAUUCCAAUAGACGCAACCGCAAUCAAGUAUAAAUCUCUGGUUUAUCUUAACCAGAUUUCGCCAAAACACUUUCCCAAGUGCAAUUGUCAAUGUUUUAGGGAAAAUUAAUGGGAUAAUCAAAAUUACUCAUUAUUUUUCUUGGACAUUGACAACCAGAAAAGUGGUACAAAACCAUUCAAUUUUUCAUGGGUCAUCUACCCAUACAAAUUUCAUUGAGAUUAAAUUCAAAUCUCUCAAAUUCAAGUUCUCAAUUAGUGGGCUACACUUACCCAUUAAUUUCCAAUAUUUCCCAUGGGUCAUCUACCCAUGCAAAUUUCAUUGAGAUUAAUUCUAAAUCUCUCAAAUACAAAUUCUUAAUUAGUGGGCCACACUUAUCCAUUAAUUUUCAAAAUUUUCCCAUAGGUCAUCUACCUAUGGAAAUCCCCAAACGCAAUUGUCAAUGUUUAGGAAAAAUUAAUGGGAUAAUUAAAAUUACUCAUUAUUUUUCUUGGACAUGGACGACAACGAAAGUGGUACAAAACCAUCCAAUUUUCCAUGGGUCAUCUACCCAUGAAAACUCUAAUGAGAUUAAAGCCAAGUCUCUCAAACAGAAAUUCUCAAUUAGUGGGCCACACUUACCCGUUAACUUCCAAAUUCCGAACUACGUUGGUUUGAUCCCUUUGAAAGGGUACGUAGGCAAUCUAGAGAUUCAAUCUAGAUGCAACCAUCCCAAAUGCAAUCCCAUAUCGAAUCCCUGGUUUAUUCAGCUAAAUUCACUCAAACACUUCUCAAUACAAUUCAAAUCAAAUUUCCCUCGCAAUGAGUCAUUUCUUCAUUGCGAUUCUUUGAACUACGAGUGGCUUGAUUCCCGCAAGGGAUACGUAGGCAUCCUGAGGUUGGACUUAGGAGCAGUUGCAAAAUCAAACACAAACGUUCUGUUUCUUUAUGAUGGAAUCAAAGGGUGUUCUCUUGAAGCAAGGGAUUGUAAUUAAGAGACUUGCGUCUCGAAUGGGUCGAACCUAAAAUAAUAAAACCCCGUUAUUUAAUUAGUGGUGGUGAAAUUAUAUUAGGAGGAUCACAUUUUCCUUCAACAGUCGCUGUCAAAUUCGAUGCAAGUAAAUGACAUGAUACAAACAUAACAUAACUCGGGUCCUACCCCCAAUGUCUUCUGAACAGCUUAUCAAUGCAGGAUGCAUGUUUGAAUUAUGUUUUUAUGUGUGCCGCUUAAAUUAACGGUCAGGAAUUGUCCACACACAAUUAAUUUUAGUAAAAUUAUAUUAUUUUGUUUAUCUCUCACUGUACAUCUCUCUCUCUCUCUCUCUCUCUCUCUCUCUAAAAAGAAGACUAAUUGCAUAGCCACAAUCUACUAAUUACAAGAUUCCCCAGCCACGCUUGUUUACCUGCGAUCAAAGUAGACCUUAUUAUAGUCGUGCCUUGCCAGGAUCAUGAGUUCCCAUAUUUGCUUUGAGUAAUGCCAAUAUGAUAUAUCACAUUAUAAUGUGAAAAAAAAUAUAUUCCAUGACACUUUAGUCCCAAAUAAUGUUCAUAUAAUACAAUGCACAUAAACAUAUAUAAGAUGUGUACGUGUACAAAUAAAUGUACGUAGAUAUGCAUUACAUCACACAUAUCUGUAUGUCGGUAUAUACACAUGCAAAUGCAUGGAAUAAGUAAGAACUAAUAAUGAUCAAAGACAAAGGCAGCAACCACCAAAUCUUUCUCAAUCUGCGAUUUAAACAAAGUGCUGCCAAACAAAGUGUAGAGAUUUUCUGGUUUCAAAACAGAUUUCUAUUUCUUACACUCUUAAUAACUUACAGCAGAAUUUAUAUACACAUGGAAGGCUUGCUAAUCAAGCCUUGUAUUAAUUACAAAAGGUAGCAGGGGACAGCACAAUAGCUUUGUAUUAAUUACAAUAGGUAGCAGGGGCAGCAUAGUAGGUAUUAGGGGGCAGCUUGUGCAGCUGAUGCAAUUAAUCAUAUUUUGGCUUCUUUUGGCUUUUCAACUUCUGGAACUUUGCUCCCUUCUCCUAGAGUCAGCAGCAAUUAAUGCAAUCUCAAUACUCCCCUUCAAGUUGGUGCAAAAAUAUCACGCAUGCCCAACUUAUCAAGUGAGUCAUAGAAAACUCUACUUGAUAUGGCCUUUGUCAGAAUAUUAGCAAAUUGACUUUCUGAGUUUACAAACGGAAACUCAAUCAUACCAUUCUCCAGUUUUUCUUUGAUGAAGUGUCUAUCCACUUCCACAUGUUCGGUAUGAUCGUGUUGUACCAGAUUAUGAGCUAUUUCGAUAGCAGCUUUAUUAUCACAAUAUAGAUUUGUGGCUUUCAACUAUAUAAAUCUAAGAUCUUUUAGUAAUCUCCGUAACCAGCCCCUAAACUCAGCUUCAGCACUCGAUCUAGCCAGAACUCUUUGCUUCUUACUUCUCCAAGUGACUAAGUUGCCACCCACAAAUGUAAAAUAUCCAGAAAUAGAACGUCUACCUGUGAUGGACCUUGCCCAAUCAGUAUCUGUGUAUCCUUCUAGAUCCAUGUGUGUAUGUUUGGAGAACGUCAACCAUUUUUUAGGGGCAGUCUUCAAGUAUCUCAAUAUCCGUAUAACUCAAUUCAUGUGUGUCUCACUUGGUUGAUGCAUGAAUUGGCUUACCACAUUCACAGCAUAAGCUAUGUCGGGCCACGUGUGGGAUAGAUAAAUCAAUCUCCCAACUAAUCUUUGAUACCUUUCUUUAUCAGUUGGAGCUUGGUUUGGAUACAUCCCAAAUUUGUGAUUCUGUUCAAUAGGUGUGUCAGCUGGCUUGCAAUCUAGCAUUCUUGUCUCUGUCAAUAAAUCUAACACAUACUUUCUUUGGGAUAGAAAUAUGCCAUGUUUUGAUCUAGCAACCUCUAUGCCAAGAAAAUAUUGUAACUCACCCAGUUCCUUCAUCUCAAAUUCACUUGCAAGGAGCUUCUGUAGAGUCUGCAUCUCUUCACUGUCAUUACCGGUAACCACCAUAUCAUCUACAUAGAUGAUUAGGGCCGUAAGUUUUUUACCACGAUGCUUUAAGAACAAUGUGUGAUAUGAGUUACUCUAAGUGUACCCAAAGCGCUUCAUGGAAUUAGUAAAUCUCCCAAACCGGACUCGAGGUGACUGCUUUAGCCCAUACAUAGAUUUUUUCAACUUGCAUACGGUAUUGGGACCAAAUGUCAUAGGAAUCUCUGGUGGUGGAUCCAUAUAUACUUCUUUUUAUAAGUCCUCGUGAAGAAAGGCUUUCUUUACAUCAUACUGCAGUAGUGGCCAGUCAAGAUUCGCAGCCAAGAAUAUGAGAACACAUACAGUGUUGAUCUUGGCAACAUGUGCAAAUGUCUCCUGGUAGUCAAUUCCAUAUGUUUGUUUAUAUCCCUUGGCUACUAAUCGAGUUUUGUAUGGGUCUAUGGAUCCAUAAGUUUUGUAUUUAAUGGUGUAUAUCCAUCGAAGGUUAAGCUUGACUUAUUAUCAUAAAUUAUCUUUCUUUCCUUGUCAAAUUAAUUAACCAACUGAUUUGCUUUCUAAAGUGAGUUUGCAAACAACAAAUAAUUACUGGGCCCAAUCGCCAAUCAUGUACAUCUCCCUUUAACUCCAACCAGACUCACACAAAAGCUCCCCAUCAAGCCUGGACAAAUCAAUGGACACUUGUUGAAUUCAGACUGAAUAAUCUCCUCUUAAGUUUCCCCAACACUUCCUCUUCUGAUCAGGCACCAUUAGGUUUUCCUACUCCAAUCAAAACUUCUUAUUAUUGUAAAUGUAGGAUAAGUUUUUUGUUUAUGUUUUUACCUUCAAUGAAAUCGAAAUAGUUCACUUUAUUUUUAUGCUACGUACUACAUUGGGUUGAAAUCAAAUCAUCUUUUACAGACCAAACCAAAGUUUUUAUUGAUUAAUUAGAAGGAUUUCGGUUGUGAAAUCAAAAUCGAUGCAGUUGGCCCUCAAAAGGUUUCAAUCUCAUUCUUUUACUUCAGAAUUGAAUCCCUUUCGAGCCAACCAAAUGGGCUUAAUCCUUCAAGUUGAAGAUAUGUAAGACAUGCAUGCGCUUGAAUAGAAACCUCUCAAGCCCAUCAAGCUUCUGUGGAGCUUCAACAAGACUCAAUUUUUAAGUGUAAAAAAAUGAAGAAAUGGGCAUUACGUGGCAUUCCCCAUGCAAAUAACAGCUAAGCCCCGAAUUGAAAGAGAAAGUAAACAUACAGUGCAUUUAUAACAACAGCUGGGUUAGCAUUGAAAGCAUUUUCUAACUACUUCUGCCCUUAAUUUGAAGCAAAUCCUUGGACUGAGAGAGAGAGAGAGAGUAUUGUGUGGCUGGCUUGGUGGCACCACCACCUAUUCAUGCCCAUUUCCUCCUUCCCCACACUAGUAAUCUCUCACCCAUCUUCAUCCCCCACUUUAACUUUGUCAUUUUCAUCAAGCCACCCCAUGGCAAACGAUGCCGUUUUCAGGGCCUCUCUAGUUUGGUUGGCUGCAGUCAUAGUGGUAGUUGGAGUAUUCACACAGUCUUUCAAGAAGAUGAUGUUAACGUACGUGGUUGGUGUGCUGGGUAUUUCUGGGUUGCUCUUGCCCGAUUGGGGUUACUUUGACCGAGACUUUUCGAGGUGGACGUCUCCGGUUUCAGCCGAGGAAAGAGCCUCUGAAGUUGCUCAAAGAUCUGGGUUAAUUAGAAGGUCAGUUUUAUUUUUAUUUUUUGGGACAUGUGAGAUUUACUGGUUUUUCAAUUGAAUGUUGUGAUUUUGUUGUGGAAGAAUAUUAGUGAACAAUUGAUUGAUGUUUAUGUGUUUAGCUUAGGGUCAUCAUUAAGUGAUAAAACAUCAACAAACAAAAUUAGGGAUCGUUAUUUGACCCAUCGACUUAAGGUCUGUUGGACUAGAUCGGCCCAAAAUUUCGGCCGGCCUGAUCAUAUUUUACUAUAUUUCACAGCAAUAUAGUAAUUAACAUUUUUUUUGUUCUCACUUCUAUACGAUAACUUCUUUCUACACGAAUACAAUCUAAGUAUAUUUUAUGUAUGUAUGGUACAUCACACGUAUAUAUAUAGAGGGUUCUUUAAAUAAGUUUAUGUGAGCGACACUCUUAUAGAGUCCACCACAUUGUAUUUCAAUUAUCCAAAUUGUGUUUGCCUAUUUUAUUGAUCACAAGUGUAUUCAUGGACUAAAUUUAGGUAGUCCGGAGUGUUUGACUUAUAACCUAAGAGACAAUUCUCCGUUUUGCAGAUUUAGAAAAAAUCCUAUGAGAUCGGUUGCUUGUGCCACAGUUUAUGGGUUUGCUCUACGGAAGUGGUGGAUGUUCAUAUCAAGCUAAUGUCAAGCCAGAGAAGAUCAAUGGUGUUGGGGUACUUUCUAGUUUAUCGGUAUGUAAAUUAUGAAUGAUGACAGUUGCCAUUGCAAUAUUACUUUGGGUUCCAUAUAUAUAAGAUUUCCAAAUCCAAUUUACUUAUAAGAUAUAGCUCCAAUUUCCUCUUGGUUUGUAACAUGCUUAAUUUGGCUUAAAUUUGUGUUGAAAUUAAGGCAUGUUACGAAGACUACAUUUUUAUACCACAUGAUGUAGAAAGCGAUGUUUAUUUUCACAAUAGGAAGUAAAACUUGAAAAUAAAACAAGAACAAAAAGAAGAAAAAAGACUUUUAAUUAGUUGCAUGGUGCAACAAUUUUUAGUGAGGACUGGGUGAAUGAAUUGCUUGCAGAUAUGAUUGAGUAGAGAGACAGUGUGAAGAAAGGAAGAAGAGGUGACCUGACAGUAAUUAUAAGCACAAGAAGCGCAAAUGUUAUGGUCUAAUUUUUCAAGUUGUAUUUUAGUUUCUGUAAUCAUUCAUCAAUUAAUUGUUGUUUACAAAACCAAAAUCUAAAUAUUACAGUUCACAUUCCAACCCACAAAAUGUGGUAUAUAUAUGUUGUUUUUACCAUCGGCCACAGAUCGUUUCGUUUCUUUUAAUUUCUUUUGUCGAUGCUACAAGUUGAAGCAGGCAUGUGAAUGUGGCGAAGGCAAAGUAAUUUCAAAGUGAGGUGGGUUCGACAAAAGUAAAUUUAUUUUAACUUUCGGGGAUUAAAGUGUAAAAUAAACCGUGAUUAAAUAAAGAUAUCACCAAAGUUCCAUUCUUCUGGCUUGAUAAUCUUUGUUCAAAAUCUGAAAGACAACAACAAAUUGACCAAUGGACUAGGAUCCAACGCGGGUUAUCUGGAUUUCCAAGACACGUGUUGAUUUUGAACCUGACUUAGAUGAUACCGGUUUGAGGUUGAAUGUGCAGACAUCUCCAUUUUUGAGCUUGUUGGCUUCAUAAAACUUGUACCAUCCUUUUCUAGUAGCUAUACGAUGACUACCCCUGGUUUUGCUUUCCCACUUUACUUAUGAUCAGCGGCCAUGAUCUUUCAGACGGGUCUUUGAGAAUGAUUCUGGAUGUGGCCACAAUGCCAUUUGAUCUUGCAAAUUUUGCAGGAAAAGUCUGUCAUAAAACAACUACCAAAUUUAGAGAAAAUCAAAAAAUGAAAAAAGUUGUAAGGAUUGCAACUCAACCCUGAACAAACAGACCAAUUUCACAACUCUGCCAAGGGCUUUGCCACCAAAACUCCAGACUCAAGAAGUGUGCUUGAAGUGAACAUCAUGAAAUUUUUUAUCUUCAAUAAUAUGCAAAUAAUAACAUGACACACUUCAUACAGGCAAAGAGAAGUUAGAAAACUUACCAUAUAAGCAUGAAGAGGAUCCCCAUGGGUUUUACUCAUCGUGGUACUGAACAAAGUCCUUGAGCUUGAGGAUGCAGUUCCUUUUAAGGUUCUUUUUCCUGAAAAUAGUCCAAGGAACAACCCACAUUAGAUGCAACCCAACAUUCAUUAUAAUUAAGAGGGUGCAAUCCUAUCAAAAGUAAAAAUAUUGAGUGUAACCUGAUGUAAAUCUUGUGGGAAAUGAAGGCGAAUGAAAAUUAAUAUGCCACUGCCAUUCUUGUGUGAAAUGCAAGAGAAUUUUAAAUUUAACGCACCUUUGUAAUCAUGCUGGUGCUUGUCGCUCUGCAGUUCAUACUCUUUCUCACUACCAAGACUCAUAGGCAACCACAGUGAACACCAUUUUGCCUUUGUGUUCAAAUACUACCAUUUCUCCAAUGUUCAGGCCGUGAUGGUUCACAAAAACUUCCCAACCUUCUUCGAAAGAAAGUACUCCAUCAACACUCCUGCCAAGUCUCACACACCAAGAUCCCAAGCAGCUUUUAAUAACUGCUUUAUCCAGUUUCUUUUCACUCAGAGAACUACUGAAAGCUACUGGAAGUGACUGUUCAUAUGUAGAACAAAAAUAUUGGGUCACAAUCCUAAUCACAAUCCUAAUCCCAACUGAAGACAAAUUCAUAGUUGAACUCAAUUAUGUAUUUUCAAUCAAAACAUUAAAAUCUGUGUCAAACCAACUAGAACAAAAUUUAUGUAAGCAAUAAAUUAAGCUGCAAAUCAAUAUACAUCAGAAAUCAGAAACUGCGUAAUCAGCAGUAUGCAUUAUUGAUAAGUCAACACGAGAAGACUAGGAACAUUUAAUGGAACAGCUGCAAAUUAACCUUUUCCUCCCACUGAUUGAUUGAAUCAAAAGUCUCAUAGAUGACAAUUUGAGAUACCAAUCUUUUGAACACUCCCACUGACAAAACUUUUAGUUGGAGAUUGUGUGCCAAUAUGUUCAACAUCAAUAUUGUCUGCAUAGCGGAAGUAACUAUAGUAGUUUGUUUUGCACUUUUUCGAAUACAAUCUGCCAAAAAAUAUGUUUGAAACCAAAAACAUAACAACAUAUUAAUAACUGGAUGCAUCUGUAUUCAACUUUCAACUUAAACACCAACUUAAUUUCCUAGACCAAUAUUCAUACUUUGUAAAACAAAAUCAGUAGCUAAGAAACUAAAUAGCCUGCCAUCAAAACAAAUUAUCGAAAUUUCGUUGGAAACAAAAGGAGAAGCAUAAAAAGAAUAAUAAGACCAUGAGUGUGUAAAAUUUCUCUUACAUCACUUGUCCCACUUGGGCAAACACUCACUUCUUUGCUACUUCAAAAGAGUACGCCAAAGUACUUAUGCUGGUCACAUAACUUGUAAACAUAAUAGCUGGUAAACCAUAGAUGUAGUUCAUAGUAAAAACCAUAGAUGCACAAAAAACAACCACAAAACUACCAAAGCAAGUUUCCAGCAAUGAAGUUUACUUACUUGAAAGUUACUAUAAUUAAUUUAUAAGUCCGAUUAACACAACUUUACAUAGAAUCAAACUAGGGACAGUAAUCUUUAUAAAACAAAAAUGUGGAGUCGUUUUAUCUCCAAUUUAUAGUCCAAAGUUGCUCAUAAAAUAUGCCAGCACAUACACAAUCACAUGACCAAGGAAAAAGCAGCAAGAUUUAGGGUUUUUUAAAAUAUUUAAUUAUUUAUUACCCUAUUACCAAGACAGAAAAAUGAACCUAGAUUUGUCAAGAGAAAGCAUAUGUAAACAACAUAUGAAGUUGAACAACAUAAACCUCAAAAACAACAUAAACGUGAAAACCCACAUAUAUAUAUAUUAAACAGAGAGCGAAGAGAAGAGAAUCAUACAAGUCGUUUGUUGAACCCAGGAACCAAAAACUUGAAAAACACGGAGCAUUUCCCAGCCAUGAAUCCUGAUGAGAUGAGUGAAUAAGAAAAAUAAAUGUAAAGACAGAGAGGAAAGUUGAAACUAUGAAUGGACUGACGUUUCUGUGGCUUGUAUUCUCACAAAAAAAAUUCUUGGGUUUAGCCUUACCAGUAUAUAUAGCCUGAAAGGGCCAAUCGCUUCUCUCCAACGCAGCAUUGGCUUACAGAGAAGUGAUGGACGCUCCAUGAAUGGCAUUGGCCGGAGCUUGUCCUUUGAGUACAGAAUGCAUGCGGGUCGGAAAAGCCUGAAGCUUUUGCAGCAGCCGUCUGUGCCUGUGACUGUCUCUGUGCUACUAACGCGUCCAGAUUGCCAAAAUGAGCGUGCUAUGCCUUUAAUUGACUGAUUCUGAUUGCCAGCAAAAUGGGCCUGCAAUGCCUUUAAUUGACUGAUUGCCAAAAUGAGAAAAAGGCCCAUUAACUCUUAGCAUUUCACCUACAGAAAGUUGGGCUGAAUUGCACCCCUUUCGGCUUUUUUAUAUUAUAUUUUAAUUUUUUAUAUAAAAAAUUUCUUUUAUUGAUUUAACUUGUGCUUUUUCAGGUGUAUUUAUACGGGUUUAGGCUUUUGGACAGGUGAGAAUUUAAUUUAAACCAUAUAAUUCACUCACUCCACACACUAUGCCCUCUUUUAUAUCGUUGAUAAAAGAAUAAUGCUACUCUUACCACAUUUUUAUAUCAUAUUUUUAUAUCAUUUGAUGUGGCAGUUGAGGUAGACAGCCACAUCAAUUAAAAUUAUUUAAUAUUUUUUUUCUUUUAUGAUUUAUUUCAAUAUUUGUUUUUCUAAUUGCCUUAAUUAAAAUACACUUCAUCAAUUUAAUUGAUGUGACAUAUAAUAUGAACAUGUCACAUCAUGUGGUAUAGAAAUGUGGGAUAAAAAUGUGGUAAGUGUAGCAUUACUCUUGAUAAAAAAAUGCCCUCUUUUAUAUCAAAUGGAUCAUGACCACUACCUUACAUUCCACGAAAUUGUGCACUAUAAAUAGGAGCUAAUAAAAAGAUAUAUGUGAUAUAAAUAAGGAAGAAGAACUUACAUGUAAUGGGAUGUUAUUAUGGCGGUAUUCCAAACCUAUCACGCAUUACUAUGUCAAAAAAUAACAUUAUUAAUGUUAUGUCAGAAACUUAAAACACAUGGCAAUAGAUGAUUGACUAGAAAUAACCGUAACAGUAAUAUCUCCUAUAUAGGUAAGUUUUUCUUAAGGAGAAGGAGGAAUUGAAUACAUAACCUCAUUGCUCUGGCAUAGCAAUAUUUAUUACUUUUUAGUUAUAAUACAUAAACUUUCUCAAAUUUUGUCAAUCUCAGUGUUGGCCUUGGACAGAAGCAGUCAAUGCGACUUCCUUGGGCACGGUCCAAGAGGGCACAAAAUAUUUAUUUAUUUAUUUUUAUAAAGAAUUUCCACUUGGUCUUUUAAUAGUUUUUAUUUAUUUAUAUAUUAUGUUGUUCUAAUAAAAACGCUUAUAAUAAAUGCUCUUAUGAACAUAUGUACAUUUUGUACAACCAGUCUCAAACUGACCCUACGUACACAUGCUACUAUGUACAAAUAUGUACAUUAACAAUUUAACAUCUUGUCUGAAGUUUCAAAACCUAGUAGAGCAAAAAGGUGUAAAAAUUCAUAGGUCAUUAGCAUUGCAUGUUCAUAUAUGAUUUAAGAGUAAUGCUAUAGCCAUUGUUCUUUGGUGAACAACUUGCAAAUGUUAAGCCUAGGUAUACCUAGAAAAGAUCCUCUAAAGGGUGAAAGGAAAGAAGAAGAAAAAAGGUCAAAGGCUUAAAGAGUUCAGCUUUUCAAUCAUGUCAUGAACAUGAAGGAAAGCCUCACUGGUAUUACUGAGAAAAGGGUCUUCUUCUGCUGAGGAAAGAGUGUCAUAGAGAAAGAGAAGGGCAAAGCUCUUUUUCUGCAGAAAUGUGCAAAUUAGGGUUGUGCAAAUAAGAGCUGAGGGACUCCACCACAGUGGAGACUGAGAGUGGAGGGCAGCUUUAAAUAGCCAUUGAUUGGUGCAGACAAAGGAGGGUCACCCAAAAAUAUUAUGAGAGAGAGAAGAGAGAGGGGGUAGAUAGAUGGAAAUCCAGCUCAUUGUUGUCAAAGAAUGAUAGGAGCCCACGUGGAGAGGACUGGCAAAGUGCCAGUUCACGGACUUGUACAGUUUUGUAUCAUAAAAACUAUAGAGAGAGAGAGGUGCUCAACUCAUAGCUGUCUCCUCCUCGUCCCUAACGCUGGCAACAAGCUAGAUUAUCAAUCCUCCUCUCUGCUGCUCUCUCUGCUCAUGGGCCUCACCAUCAAAAGUCAUUGAGAGUUAUAUGAAUACAAUACAUACUUAAUUAGGGAAAUGCAUGUUCUCCCGCAUAUACUACUGACAAGGGAACAGUUGGAUUGUAAUAUGGAUAGUUGAUGAGGUUGAUUCUUUUAAAACAUGUGGGUUAGAUUCACAAUAUAACAAUAUAAAUAUAUUUUUUUUGGUAACAUGAAAAUAAGUCCGGCGAAAUAAUAUUACACUAUAUAGUUAUGUUCGAUAGUAAACAUUUUCUUAUCAACAUGUUAUAACAUAAUAUACCUAUGUUGUUAGAUUAAGAUUCUAAACCAUUUGAUAAUGUUUGGUUUUGCUUGAAUAUGUAGCCAUGUUUAUGGUUUGGUAACAUAAGUAUGGCAGUGAUAGUAUUACCCUACAUAGUUAUAUAAAAUCAUAAAUGUUAUCUUAAUAUAAGGCUUGUCAACACAAACAUAUAUAAGAUACUUAAAUUAUCAUACUAUAUAUUAUUACGAACAAUUGAUAAGUUUAGUGUGUACGGCUCAUAUUACAAAUAUAGGCAAAAUAGUUAACUGUGUGACAAUAUAAAUCUGACAAGAGAACAUUACUCGAUAUAUACUCAUUCAAUUUCAAGUUUUAAAACAUGACAAGAAGAACAUGUGAUCCUUCAAAAGAGACUUUAUGGCUCGCAUGGUCAUUAGCUUGUGGACAAGAUAAUGGUCUUCCAUUAACAUAUAAUAAUUCAAUUAAGAGCACGAACCCUUUUAGUUAAUUAAUGAUUAUUGACCAAGCAUUGGGAAUGAUUCGAUACAGAUGGUCAUAUAAAAUUAAACAACAAUGUACCAUGAUUUUGAUUUUCCUUGGCUGCCGCCCAAAGCUUGCAAUGCACAUGAUUUUUUAUCUGAAAGACUGAAACCAUUGGUUUAUGUAAUCCUAACUACUGUUUUCUUUCACUUAUUUUUCUUGUUUGGAAGUUGGCUUUGUAAACAGCUUAUGAUUAGACAGUUAGGAACAUGGGGUCAUGUGGGAAUAUUUGAUUAGCAUUUGGAAGCAGUUGAGUCAUAAAAAAAGAUUAAAUCUUAAUCUAAUAAAUUAAGCUAAAAUUAGCUGUUCUUUUGACCAUAACCAGCUAAUGUAACAUGAGGCAGAACAACAAGUGCAGAAAUUAUAAUAAUAACAUUGGUGAUCUUUUGGGCAAACCAAUUGUCAAUUCACAUACCAUGAAUUGUCGUCCAUUGCAGCCACAAAUCAAAACACAUUAAACAAAUUCAAAGAACUAAUUAAACCCACUGGUUAGUGCUCAGCAGCAUUACAAGAGCAACCAACUUUUCUUUAUUUAGUUAAGAGAACUGUUAGAGAUACUAAAUUUGUUCCUUAACUUUUAUUCACCAAAUAAUACGGCAGGGUUUGAUUAAUUUAAAUCUGUAUGUACUUUCAAUUUUAUUUAUAAUUAAUAAGUAAGAUAUAUUAAUAUGUAUUUGUUGAAGAAUAUAAAAUCUCACAUCGAAAACUUGACUAAAUAAAUUAGAACUUAUAAUAAGUGGUUCCACUCCUAAUAACACCGAAGUUUUUUGUGGUAAAACUCUACACCUACUGAGUUUUGUAAGUGAUUAAAUUGGGGACAAUAUCGGUUUUGCUAAUAGUGGGCCGCUGAUCCGUCUCUUUGAAAUUUAACAUGGUAUCAGAGAAGGGCUCCAACCCAAACCGGUUACAUCUUGAUUGGAUGUGGCCACCGAUCUGAUUGACCAACCACACCUUGAUAGGUGUUGCCAUCAACCCAAUCGACUCUGACUCAGAAUAUGACUUAUGAAUCACACAAAUACGGAUGAUUAAUUUCGAUGUGAACUUGGUUCCACGUAUGACCCAUUAUUUAGUGAAUAAAUUUAGUUGUGUUAUUGUUAUAUCUAAUUAUCCAAAAUCAAUCACAUCCACUGAAUCAUUUUUCGAUAGAAAGGGCAACUCGGUGAUGAUCGAAUGGUCCAUCUUACUGGCCUAGUUAGCAGACCCACAAUGAGUACAAAUGUUGGGGCAUCUCUGAUACCCACACCUACACACACACUGUAUUAAUUGUGUAAACAAAACAACUAACUAAUUACAGAUCAUACCAUAUUAUGCUUUUUGGGUCUACAUUAAUACAACUUUCUUUGGGACAAAUAAUUAAGAUUAAAAACUAAAAAAAAGAACACCAGGGUGGCGAAGAUCAAAAUAUUUUUUAUUUGUUACAUGUGGUAUUACAAAUUCAUCGAAAUUAUGAUAUAUUGUGAUGAAUAAUUAUCACUCUAAGGUAUAAUACUAAUAAAAUAAAUAUACACAGUGUUAUAAUAUAAGUGAUAAUAUAAUAUGUGAUGGUGUUACGAGGAUACAGAUAAAACAAGCGAAUUAGAGAGAGGAUUGGAAUGGUGGGAUUAAAAUUUGAUUGGAGGGUGGGAGGGUAUAUUAAUGCAGAGACAGGGAGGACACACUUGAAGUGCAUUAGUCACACAGAGCUGUCAUUCGCUAUUACGAAGCCACCCUCCUCCCCUCUCCUAAUUCAUAGCCAGCAAAUCAGGGUUUGCAGCUGUCGGGUGCUUUAUCUCUCUCUCUCUCUCUCUCUCUCUCUCUCUCUCUCUCUCUCUCUCCCUCUCUCCCCCCCUCACUCAAUCAACCAAACCAACUCCUCUGUUUCAAACUACUCAUCAAAUAUUUGACAGCAAUACCAACAGCAACAGCAACAUUUUAAACUAAUGCAAUAACCCUUUUCAAAUUUCUGUGUAUUCAAUGAUUUUCUCUCUGUAAAAAAAAAAGAAAAAAAAAAGAGAGAGAUGGAAUAAUAAUUAUGGAGAUGGAGGAGCAUAUAGACAUGGAGCAAGCAAAGAAGAUCAACAACAACAACAACAUGAGGUGGAAGAAAUUAAGAGGCCUCUGCUUAGCCAAUAUUUCUUCUCUGUGAUCAACAACUGCGUUUGUGUAUGAGUUCAUGUGGCAAAAACCAAGAAACCAGUUUGUGAUUUUGAUGAUUUAGAUGCCAUGGCUUAUCCACAUUACCGAUCACAGUUUGGGGACACAACGUUUACGAAAGUGUUUGUUGGAGGGCUCGCUUGGGAGACACCAACUGAUGAAAUGCGUAGAUACUUUCAGCAGUUUGGGGAGAUUCUUGAGGCUGUCAUUAUUGCUGAUAAGAACACUGGAAAAUCUAAAGGCUAUGGAUUUGUAAGUCUUUGAUAUUUUAAUCAAAGAUCGAUGGGUUAUUUUUAUUUUGUCUUCUGGUUUGGCUUACUCUUGUGUUCUAAUUUUAUGACUAGGUGACAUUUCGUGAUUCGGAAUCGGCAAGGAGGGCUUGUGCAAAUCCAAACCCUGUGAUCGAUGGAAGAAGAGCAAAUUGUAACAUUGCUUCGUUAGGACGUCCUCGGCCUUCACCCCCGAGAGGUACAUUACAUAUUUCAACCCGCAUUUGAGGUCCUGCAUUCGAUUCUCCCCUCUCUCUCGUAUCGUUGUAUAACUUUGCUAAAACUGUGCAUUUUCAUGGUUUAUACAGGAAGAAAUCAAGCCUCCGGUCCAUACCAGGGAAGUGCACCACAGGCUGCACAAUCGUAUGGCGGAGCGCCGCCAUUGCCACCACCGCUGCCGCCACCAGCCCCUAUUAUAUAUCCACCUUACAGGUAAGAAAUGUUGCAUUAUUAUUAUUUUUAUAACAAUUAAAGCUUUUUUUUUUUGGAGGGUUAAAGAGAAAUGGUCCAUGCAUAUGCAAUGAAUUAAAUAAGUGUCGUUUUUUAUGCUACAUAUAAAUAAAUAUUUCCUCGGUACAGUUGGUAUCAACCUGUAAAUAGCAAAUAUAAAUCAUGUAAAUUGACCUUCGUAGAGAAGGUGGGGUGCCAUGUUCUCUUGAUGUACAUAUAUUAUGAUACAUUGAUGGAUAUAUUGACCAAAAUCAUCUAUAAAAUACAGCAUUAAUAUUAUAUUAUUAAUUGCUGAAAAAUGUAAUUGUUUUAAGGAAAUUAUAAAGAUUAAUGGAGCUACAUUUGGUAGAUGAAGACGUGAAUAGAUUACAGUGAUAUUACUUAAAAAGAAACAAAUGGUCAAUCUUUGUCUUCAUCGGUCAACUCUAGGGUGGUGCUUCCUAAGUCUUUUGUGUUUUCCAACUUUGUUCCCCUUUUUACAAGUUCUACCCUAAAACCAAUCACUCAUACAUCUCAUUAAGUCAAAGUUAACUUAAUCUCUGUUAAUAUGAUCAGUGCGAAACACUUUAAGAAGCAAAUUAUUAUUAUUAUUUUGUUAUAAUAGAAGCGAUAUUGGAUAUUGGGGAGGGAGAAUCAAAUCUUAGACCUCUCGAAUACAAGGAUAAAUAUUCUCAAUCACUUAAACUAUAAGCCCUUUGUCUUCCAGAAUGAAAUCAUAGAAAGAAAAAAACUUCUCACCUAUAGAAUGAAUUUAUUUUGUUGGAAAUAAAUCUUCAGCUAUCAAGUUAUUUUCUGCCAUCGUUACCCGGCAAUCUCAUUUAAUAUUGAUUUGCAGCUACCCAACGUACACUCCUGCAGAUUAUGGGUACCAUCAAGUUAGUCUCUCUCUCUCUCUCUCUUGCAUAUACAAUAAUUGAAACAUAUGCAACAAUUGGUUCACAAUAUUAAUGAAUGGUUGAUGUAUUGCAGCAGGCAAUGUACAACCAACAAGUUCAACAGCAGCCCCAGUACUACUCUCAUCAAGUUUAUGGAUCAUCACCAUCUUCUCCCAUGGGCACUCCAUAUUAUUAUCAUGGCUAUUCUUUUCAAUCUCCAAGGGCAACGUUUUCUUCACCCCCGGCGCAUCGUAUGCCUGCUCCUUCCUAUCUCUACUAUCCUACGCAGAUGGAACCCUCCUCCUCCUAUCCAAAUCCUGCUCCUCCACUCCUACAACAACCCCCCACCUCAAGGCAACAUCCUCCCAAUUUUACCUCUCCUUCACCUGGUAAUUAACUACUUUAAUCAAUUCAUUAAUUUCUCUACUUUUUUUUUUAUCACUGUUUUAUUUUAUUUUAUUUGGUAUUUAGUAGUUAUAUGUGAAGUAUAUAUAGUUUAAAAUUCAAUGGAAAAUAAUUAUUAAAACUUUGUAGCUAGGUAGUAGUUCCACAUGAUAUAUAUAUAUAUAUGUGUGUUUUUUUUUGGGGGGGUUCCCUAGGGAUUUGUCUAACAUGGACCUAGUGGGGCUACAAGGGCAAGGCCAACCCAUGUGAGUGAGCUGUCUGCAUGGUUUGUGUGAUGACCCAAAGGGUCAAAUGGGAAGUCAUGACAGAGAAGCAGAAGCAGAAUUUGUGUAAAUUAACAGUGCUGCAUGUGGCUUCAACCUCAGCAGUCAAAAUCAUGCUUCAUUCUCGAGAGAUAUUUGUAGUCAAGUGGUCGUUUGGAGGAUUAACACUUGUGUGGAACGGGUAGCUUGGGGCAUAGCCAUAAUUCAAUGUUUGAGGGUCAUAAUCUAAAAUUUUAUAAUUUUUUCUUAUUAUCUCACGUCAUAUAGUAUACAUAUACUCACGUCAUAUAGUAUACAUAUACUAAGGGGAAGAAGAAGAAAAAUCGGGAGGACCAAAAUAAUGCUACGCUCAUUUCACGCGAGUUUUUUUUUUUUUUUUUUUGAGGGGGAGAAGGAAUGAAAAAUAACAUUAUAAAUUUAUAAAAAAACACAGUUAUAAUUGAGUUUCGAGUUAUACUGAUUAACAGUUUGAUUACAUAAUAUGAGGAAAAAAAAAUUGCUCUAUGUAUAUGUUGCUUGAUUACUUAGGUCUCAUAUAUAUAUAUAUAUAUAUAUAUAUUACAAACCAUUUUCUAUAUUCUUUAGCAUAAGACAAGUGAUUAAUAUGUUGAGAAAAUGGUUGUGGAUACUGCUAAAAUAUGAAAACUAUGAGAGAGUAUUUGUUUGUGGGAAUUUUCUGUGUAUUCUUCUCAUUGUAGGAGGUCAUAUUUAUAAUACAAUGAAACCUGAAUGGGCAAGUAAAUAAUAAAUUCCUAAAUCUAUUUACAGUAGGAAAUCAGGAAUUAAAGUAAAUCAAUUACAAUUAUAAUAGGAAUUCUUGGUGUGUAAGGAAAGUAAGUCAAUAUCCACAAGUCACGCCAACACUCCCCCUCACGUUGGUGCAUAGAUGUCGCCAAUGCCCAACUGAUCCAGUGAAUUGUGGAAUGCUUUACUGGAAAUCGCCUUUGUCAAAAUAUCCGCCAAUUGAUCCUCGGAUUUCACAAAAGGAAACUGAAACACUUUAGCCUCAAGCUUCUGUUUGAUGAAGUGUCGAUCUACCUCAACAUGUUUAGUACGAUCAUGCUGAACCGGAUUCUGUGCAAUGGCUAUAGCAGCCUUGUUGUCACAAAAGAGAUUCAUUGUGGAUGUAGGUUUAUACCCGAGUUCAAUAAGCAACUUUCUUAACCAAAGAAGUUCACAAAUCCCUUUAGUCAUGCCUCUGAACUCGGCUUCUGCACUGGAUAAAGCUACUACAUUUUGUUUCUUGCUCCUCCAUGUCACCAAAUUACCUCCCACGAAUGUGAAGUAACCCGAUGUGGAUUUUCUAUCUGUUACAUUACCUGCCCAAUCUGCAUCUGAAUAACCAUCAAUAUUUAGAUGACCAUGCUUUGAGAACAUAAGUCCUUUUCCAGGUGCAGACUUCAAAUAUCUAAGUAUCCGAAGAACUGCAUUCAUGUGGUCUUCACUUGGAGAGUGCAUAAAUUGACUGACAACGCUCACCGCAUAAGCAAUGUCUGGUCGAGUAUGUGACAAAUAGAUCAAUCUUCCCACUAACCUUUGGUAUCUUUCUUUGUUAGUUGGAACUUGAUCCGGAUAUUCUCCAAGAUGAUGAUUCUGAACAAUAGGAGUGUCCGCAGGUUUACAAUCUAGCAUUCCUGUGUCUGUCAACAAGUCUAAGACAUAUUUCCUUUGAGAGAGAAAUAUGCCUUGCUGCGAUCGAGCCACCUCAAUUCCCAAGAAAUACUUGAGUCCACCUAGAUCCUUCAUCUCAAACUCCGUAGCCAGAUAGUCUUGUAGCUGUGAUAUUUCCUGUUUAUCAUUCCCAGUAAUAAUCAUAUCAUCAACAUAGAUUAUUAAUGCUGUUACCUUCCCUUUUUGAUGUUUCAAGAACAGAGUAUGAUCUGAGUUGCACUGUUUGAAACCAUUGUUCUUCAUUGCCAUGGUGAACCGUCCAAACCAUGCACGUGGUGACUUGUUUCAAUCCAUAACAAUGCUUUUCGUAACCUGCNNNNNNNNNNNNNNNNNNNNNNNNNNNNNNNNNNNNNNNNNNNNNNNNNNNNNNNNNNNNNNNNNNNNNNNNNNNNNNNNNNNNNNNNNNNNNNNNNNNNGGAUCACAGUUUGGGGACACAACGUUUACGAAAGUGUUUGUUGGAGGGCUCGCUUGGGAGACACCAACUGAUGAAAUGCGUAGAUACUUUCAGCAGUUUGGGGAGAUUCUUGAGGCUGUCAUUAUUGCUGAUAAGAACACUGGAAAAUCUAAAGGCUAUGGAUUUGUAAGUCUUUGAUAUUUUAAUCAAAGAUCGAUGGGUUAUUUUUAUUUUGUCUUCUGGUUUGGCUUACUCUUGUGUUCUAAUUUUAUGACUAGGUGACAUUUCGUGAUUCGGAAUCGGCAAGGAGGGCUUGUGCAAAUCCAAACCCUGUGAUCGAUGGAAGAAGAGCAAAUUGUAACAUUGCUUCGUUAGGACGUCCUCGGCCUUCACCCCCGAGAGGUACAUUACAUAUUUCAACCCGCAUUUGAGGUCCUGCAUUCGAUUCUCCCCUCUCUCUCGUAUCGUUGUAUAACUUUGCUAAAACUGUGCAUUUUCAUGGUUUAUACAGGAAGAAAUCAAGCCUCCGGUCCAUACCAGGGAAGUGCACCACAGGCUGCACAAUCGUAUGGCGGAGCGCCGCCAUUGCCACCACCGCUGCCGCCACCAGCCCCUAUUAUAUAUCCACCUUACAGGUAAGAAAUGUUGCAUUAUUAUUAUUUUUAUAACAAUUAAAGCUUUUUUUUUUUUGGAGGGUUAAAGAGAAAAUGGUCCAUGCAUAUGCAAUGAAUUAAAUAAGUGUCGUUUUUUAUGCUACAUAUAAAUAAAAUAUUUCCUCGGUACAGUUGGUAUCAACCUGUAAAUAGCAAAUAUAAAUCAUGUAAAUUGACCUUCGUAGAGAAGGUGGGGUGCCAUGUUCUCUUGAUGUACAUAUAUUAUGAUACAUUGAUGGAUAUAUUGACCAAAAUCAUCUAUAAAAUACAGCAUUAAUAUUAUAUUAUUAAUUGCUGAAAAAUGUAAUUGUUUUAAGGAAAUUAUAAAGAUUAAUGGAGCUACAUUUGGUAGAUGAAGACGUGAAUAGAUUACAGUGAUAUUACUUAAAAAGAAACAAAUGGUCAAUCUUUGUCUUCAUCGGUCAACUCUAGGGUGGUGCUUCCUAAGUCUUUUGUGUUUUCCAACUUUGUUCCCCUUUUUACAAGUUCUACCCUAAAACCAAUCACUCAUACAUCUCAUUAAGUCAAAGUUAACUUAAUCUCUGUUAAUAUGAUCAGUGCGAAACACUUUAAGAAGCAAAUUAUUAUUAUUAUUUUGUUAUAAUAGAAGCGAUAUUGGAUAUUGGGGAGGGAGAAUNNNNNNNNNNNNNNNNNNNNNNNNNNNNNNNNNNNNNNNNNNNNNNNNNNNNNNNNNNNNNNNNNNNNNNNNNNNNNNNNNNNNNNNNNNNNNNNNNNNNNNNNNNNNNNNNNNNNNNNNNNNNNNNNNNNNNNNNNNNNNNNNNNNNNNNNNNNNNNNNNNNNNNNNNNNNNNNNNNNNNNNNNNNNNNNNNNNNNNNNNNNNNNNNNNNNNNNNNNNNNNNNNNNNNNNNNNNNNNNNNNNNNNNNNNNNNNNNNNNNNNNNNNNNNNNNNNNNNNNNNNNNNNNNNNNNNNNNNNNNNNNNNNNNNNNNNNNNNNNNNNNNNNNNNNNNNNNNNNNNNNNNNNNNNNNNNNNNNNNNNNNNNNNNNNNNNNNNNNNNNNNNNNNNNNNNNNNNNNNNNNNNNNNNNNNNNNNNNNNNNNNNNNNNNNNNNNNNNNNNNNNNNNNNNNNNNNNNNNNNNNNNNNNNNNNNNNNNNNNNNNNNNNNNNNNNNNNNNNNNNNNNNNNNNNNNNNNNNNNNNNNNNNNNNNNNNNNNNNNNNNNNNNNNNNNNNNNNNNNNNNNNNNNNNNNNNNNNNNNNNNNNNNNNNNNNNNNNNNNNNNNNNNNNNNNNNNNNNNNNNNNNNNNNNNNNNNNNNNNNNNNNNNNNNNNNNNNNNNNNNNNNNNNNNNNNNNNNNNNNNNNNNNNNNNNNNNNNNNNNNNNNNNNNNNNNNNNNNNNNNNNNNNNNNNNNNNNNNNNNNNNNNNNNNNNNNNUUGUCCCACGGAACUACCAACUCAGGGACACAUUUCAGAGUGAAUUAAUGUAAAUGGAGUAGUACACUUGUUCGUACUCAACGGGUAGGGCACACGGUGACUCUUGGCCAAAAUACAAGUAUCACAUGUGAAGUCAGAGUCUUUGAAACCUGAGAAUAAAUCUGGUAUAAGAUGCUUCAUAUAACUAAAAGACGGAUGUCCCAAUCGACGAUGCCACAACCAAAUUUGCUUUUGUUUGCUAUCAAAGGAAUGUGUCACACUGUUAGCCACGCCGGGACUGAAGUCAUCGACAUAAUAUAGCCCCCCUCUCUUAGUACCACGACCAAGAAUCUCCUUAGUGUGAAUAUCCUGAAGCAAACAAAAACUCGGGUAAAUGAGUACACAACAAUUCAAUUGUUCAGUAAGCUGACUAACUGACAACAAUUUAGUGGAUAAAGAUGGAACAAGUAAAGUAUUAGACAGUGUGAGAGAGGAUGAGAGUGCAACAGUGCCAGCCCCUGUCACAGGAUAAGUAACACCAUUGGCAUUUGCAAUACAUGUUCGUCGAGGUUGUGUAGUAUUCAAAAAAUCAUCAGGAUCAAACGUCAUAUGAUCAGUUGCACCAGAAUCAAUUAUCCAGCUCUUGGAAUCAAUCUUAUCGGAAGUAUGGAAUCCAUAACCAGUACCAUUACUGGUCAUAUUGCAUUGUCCUCGAUCUGUAAGAGUAGCCCACCAAUCGGGGUAGCCAUGCGAUGUAAAACAAGUCUCACAAGUGUGUCUCGGAUCACCACAAUAUGCGCAAUUUGGUCCAUGUGUCGGGGUCGUUAGUCUAGAAGUCAUAAGCUGUGCAGCGGAAGAAGCAUAGGAUACAGGUUGAGUAGGAAUUUGGAUCGGAAUCUGAGCAUGAGUCGGGGCCGGAGUCGGAGUCGAAAUCGGAAUCGGGGUCUGAAUCAUAGACAAAUUCGAGGUUGGGGUCAUCAUCGAAGUAGGGGUCGUGGUCGUCUUCGGAGUCGGGGUCAGGGUCGUCGUCGUCAUAGUCGGGGUCGGGGUCGGGGUCGUCAAAAGAAGAUCCUGAUUCUGGAUCGGGGUCUGAAUCAUAGACAAAUUCGGGGUUGGGGUCAUCAUCGGAGUGCGGGUCGGGGUCGUCUUCGGAGUCGGGGUCGGGGUCGUCUGGGCACUCAACUCAACGAUGGUUGGUUGAGAAUGAGAGAAGGAGUCGGUGGUGCUACCUCCAUGAGGGUUGAAAAAAUCAUCAACCCUCAUAGCGGCGGCGGAGUUUUGAAACUAGAGUCAGCAAUUCCAAGAUCGCCGCUCUGAUACCAUGCUAAAAUAUGAAAACUAUGAGAGAGUAUUUGUUUGUGGGAAUUUUCUGUGUAUUCUUCUCAUUGUAGGAGGUCAUAUUUAUAAUACAAUGAAACCUGAAUGGGCAAGUAAAUAAUAAAUUCCUAAAUCUAUUUACAGUAGGAAAUCAGGAAUUAAAGUAAAUCAAUUACAAUUAUAAUAGGAAUUCUUGGUGUGUAAGGAAAGUAAGUCAAUAUCCACAAGUCACGCCAACAGAUACCUGUGGUUUUGAGUGGUCAUGCCUGCAACAAUUUUGAUAGUCAUUUUCUUUUUGGUCCGAAUCUUAAGUUUUAAUAAACCCCACUCUUGGUCUGACAUUAACCCCACUCUUUAAAAGCACUUAAAUACAAAUUUUUGUCGAACGAUGUCUCAGUACUGCGUUACAAUCCAUGAUGUGUCAUGCUGAAAAUAUGGACCGUCCGAGCUAAUAUUGACAUAUAGUACAAUUUGUCCUUCUAGCACCAGAAGAUAUAUAAUUUCCAUGAUCUUCUCUUUCCUUUCCUUAAUCUUUCAACUUCUAUAAAAUAAAAUAAAAAUUCUAUGUCUUCAACUAUUUCAUACUUAAAGAUUUGUUUAUCAUUGACAUGUUCCGAGUAAUUAGUUUUUUCUUUCUAAAAUUUUAGCUACUGAAUAAUGUGGUAAAUGAUACGACAAUAUCUUAUAGUUGCUAGAAACAAAUGAAGUUCAAAAUACGCCCAACAAAAUAAAUAAAGUACUGAACAUUUGUUGAGAUUCAAAAUUUUAAAUUAAGUUUAUCACGGUGUUUGUAGCAUUGCUUUAUAUUGUCAGACUAUUAAUCAUCGCCAUUGAUUUGGUCAUAUAUGAAAUUGUCUUUCAAUGGGUGUAUUAUUCUUAUAUAUUAGGGCAAACAACUGUGCUCUUAAAAUUUCUUUCUAAAUUGCUGCUAUAUGUAGAGCAUGUGCUCAUGUGGAAAUCUAUACUGUUGUUCUUGGUCUCAGAUUCACAGAAUCCACAACAUGCGUCUACAGAAACAGAAGCUGGAGUUGUUACUUCAGAAAGUACUCCAGAUGCCUAAAAGGACUCGUUGAUAUAUACAUGAUUUCAUGAAAAAAAUUUCAUUUGUAUAAACUUUAUAAUUAAAAGGUCAUGUUCUCUUUAUCAGCCGAUCAUUAUUUUCCGUUUGGCAGCCAUUCAUAGUAUUUUUUGGGUCGAAAUAGGUGAAUACUGCUUCAACAUUUCUUGUGUUCAACACAGCUAUUAUGUGGCAAGAAAAAGAUUAUCAACUAAUCAACCAACUCAUGCAUUUUUUUUGGUCUAUUCCCUUUCUAUAUUAAUUUACUUUGUUCAUUUUUAAACUGUAUCAUUUCUCCAGUAAAAUGUAUGAAGAAAUUUUGUUCUGGGCCCGUACGGGAAGUUAAUGUCGAACUUGAGCCAACACGUCUUACGCAAUUGAGCAAAAUGUGCAACUCAAAAUGUUAUGUAGUGGAUCUUCAUAUAGUGGCUUCUUCCAAACGAAUGCACCAUUUGUUACCAUAUGCAUCGAUGUUCACAGAGCAUUGCUACGCUUACCAAAUGACAUAACAGUAUGUAAUUCAUUCCAAUCUAAAUCGGCUAUGAACAGGGUCGGCCUUGGGCCUAGGCACCAAGGGCGAUGCCCAGGGCUCCAAAAUUUAUAUAUACAGAGAGGUUUCGUUGAGGGAUUGUAAGACUCACUCUAUAUUGUAUUUCACUAAUUCAAACCUUCUUUUUAUAGAUAUUCAUUCAAAUUCUACAAAAAAAAAAUCACUUGAAUAUAAUAUCAUUUGACCAUUCAAUUAAAUUAUUAAAAAUUAAGAACUCUUUUGAAGCACUGUGUUAAUUGAUAUUUUGUUGGUUUCAAUUAGAUGCCUUAAUGAUUUUCAAUUUAUCUCAUUUUUUGCAAGGAUGAUAUAUGAAUGAAGACUUGAAAAAUAGAUGGUUUGGAUCGUUGGAGGAAAAAAAAAAAUAGUAAGGUACCCUAGAGGGUGUCCCUCAAAUAAAAUAAUUUGAGGAAUCCCUCAAUGAAGGAGACUGUUUAUAUAUAUAGGGAUCUCUUAGUCUUCCUAUCUUUGUGCUUCAAUCUCUCACUGAAAAGCUCACACUUUAAAAUAAAAAAUAAAAAUCUAAUCUUUGUCUUUGAAACUGAAAGUGACCAAGAGAAGAGGAGCAUGAAAGUUUAAAAAACAAACUAGAUUUUUGAAUUCUUUAAAUUAUUAAUGUUAAUAAGUUGGGAAAUUUUUUGAAGUUUGUAAAAUGGAUAAAUGUUUUUGGGUUUAUGUAAUUUUCUGAAGCCUGUUUAUAGGAUUUGAACUGUCAGAGUCUCUCAAUACCAUUUCAUGUGUAAUUAGAGCCUGGGUGAUGAAGUAAGAGCAUCUCCAGGAGAGUCUCCAAAUUUUAGUCAAAUUCUAGCUAAAAUAGCUAAGAAGCCAUUAUGGCAAACUACUUAAAAGGUGCUUCGUCCAACAAUGCUCUCUAUUUUAGCUAACCUCAAAUAUUUUAUUAUUUCUUAAAAUUUAAACAUUUAGUAUACCUACUUUUCCAACUGCUAGUUUACUAGUCUUGGAUUUUUUUCUUGCUAGUUUAAGUAAUCCAUUUAGGUUGAUCCUUCAAUAGAUGCCAACAAUGCUCAUACACAAAUGCUAAUCCCAUGAGUUGUUGAUACAUUUCUUUUGCUUCUAAGAUAUGUACAGCAUUUUAAUAAUCAAUCAAACAGUUUGUAAAAAUACAAAUCAUUUACAGUGUCAAAAACACAAAUCAUUUACAGCGUCAAAAACACAAGUUAUUUACAGUGUCAAAAACACAAAUCAUCAUACACAUCAAGUAAGAAAUUUCAAAAAUUUCUCAUUUAUUUGCAAUAAUAAAUAUACAUAAUGACUAAAUUUGAUUGUAAAAUUUUGGCAAGAAGAUUACCCUGUCUUGUUCACAACAAAAUUCUUAGCUCUUUGUGGUUUCUUAGUGGGUGGUCUAGUUGGAACAAUCACUUGAGGCAUGUCAUUGUCCCCUUCAUUUUGGUUUGCAGUUGUGUAACCAAAUGUUGAAUAUGUAUUAUCUACAGAAUCCAUCUACAUAUAUAGCCUCAUGACAUUAAACCACCGUUAAGAUUAUUCUUAAAAUACAUUUUUGUAGAGAAGCACCUCCUAACAAAAACUAACGAGAAGCUUUGUGAAGCCACCCAUCAAACAAUUUGCAGGCAUAGUUAAGUUCAAAUCAACACAAACCAUAAAAUGCAUUAAUCUGAACCUUGCCUAACUUGAAAUGGUUGUAGGUAUUCAAAACUUGGCAAAUCAAGUAAUUUCAAACACUUCCAAGCAAAAACCUAGAAACCCAUAUACAAAUUUCAAACCUAGAAAUCCAUACACAAAUUUCAAGUAUAGUUUAAAAGGAAUUUUCAAAUUUCAUCUGGAAAGACCACUUAGAGUUCAAAGAGAGGUAGAGAAACAUAGAAACAAGGUGAGAGAGACUUCACAGAGAGAAGACGAUGGAGACUUUGAAGUUUUGAAUUUGAAUUUUUUAUUGUUGCAACGAGAUGGCUUGAAUUUCUCUCUCCUCCUUACUAGAUGUAGCAAGCCAAAAUUGUGUUCUCCAAAAUGGCGAGAGAGGUAGCGACGUUGCUAGAGUGUUGUUUUUCCUUCUUUUUCACCAAAAUAACUAGGGGUGAGAGAAUAAAGAGUCUUCUAAAGAUGCUCUAAGGUAAGCAUGUUGAGGACCUCGGCUCCUUCUCAAAAAUAGUCAAUCAAUUAACUAAGGGAAAAAGCCUAAUUUAAUUUAUGGCUUUGAGCUUUGGGCUGCCCAAAAGUUAAGGUCGACCGUGACUAUAAACCUCAUUUAUUUCUAAGUGUACACUUUAACAUAUGUACAUAUACAAAUUUGAGUAUAAUAUUUUUGGUGUUUAAAUUAUAAGAAGGUUGACAUAAUUUUAUGUGCAUUGUGUAGCCUUACGUAGAGAGAGAGAAAAAAAGAAGAAGAAAAGAAUACACGAGGUUUAUACUCUACGCGUUCAUCUAACCCCACACUUGUGACAAGAGAUCAAUUCUCAAACUUUGCCUCUUUCGGAAUCUUCAUGACUAAAUAUACACAUACACAAAACUAAGGAUGACGGGUCUCUUUCAUGUUAUGGUACAAGAUUUGCUCUCUUAAGAACCUCAUUUGCAUAAAAAUUUGCUAUUAGUUUAGUGAUGUUUCCCUUUUCAAUAUUGAAAGAAAUUUCAUGUAUCAAUCAACCCUCAUUUGUUAAACUUAAAAGGAGUGUGAUUUGCCUAAAGUUAAAACUUUGAAAUACACUUCACCCAACUCGUUCGGCCCACAAUUGGGCUUCAGCUCAGCCCUUGUUGAGUUGAGUAAACUCUUCUAUUAGAGCACCUCCACCCCAAAGGGGAAGGGCAAGGCAAGGUUCCUUUGUCUUUUUUGUUUCCACCCCUAUGGGCUAGGGCAAGGGCAAUUACUAUUCACAUAAGAUAUGAGCAGAUGAAUUUGUAUAGAGUUUUUGGUGUGGGAAGUAAAGAAUAUGGAUAGGUAUUUAUAUAUAUAAAAAAUUCUAAAAUUCUAGGUAUUUUUUUCAAUUUUUUUUAUAAAAAAAUUUUGGUUGUUAAGUCAUCAUUGUGUUAGCAGCCUUCGGGCAACAGCCCAGGCAAUUCUUGCCCGUGGGCUUGCCCCAGCUGGUGGGUCUCACCCCUUGCCAGGGCUGGACCUUGCGCACAGGAGGGGGUUUUUGGGCCUGGGGUUGGCUUUUUCCUGCCUCUGCCCCUUGCGCUGGAGCUGCCCUUAGGAGGUGAUCAAGCUUUGAGCUUGAAUUUUGGCCCAGUACUAAAGUUUUUUGGCCCCUUUUUUUUGGACCAUGGGCCAGUUGAUCCAAUAGCCCUCAAACUUUUUAGUUGAUGUUUUUUUUUUUUUUGAAAAAUUUAUUCAGUGAAUAAUUUGCCUCCUACGUCUCACAGUCUACACAAUGAUCACAUAAUGGCUUGAUGAUGUUGAUCAAAGUAUAUUGCUUUUGCUAGCUAUCACAUGGCUAGUUCAGCAUCGAAUGCAAAGAAAACCGCAUGCAUUCAUUCUUCUCUAAGCUAUAGAACUAGUACUACUGGCUUUACUGCUGUGGUAAAUGGUAAUUAAUUGAAAGAUAGCAUGUCAGCUUUCAGAAAAUAAAGGUAGCUAGGAUGAACGACUAAUCAAACUAUAUAGCUAGGUUAAGUAAAACUUGCACGUAAUGAAUAUUGAUUGAAAUGUCCACAUGCACAUCCUAAAUAACUAGAAAUUAAUGAUUCACCCUGCAACUCUCUCUCUCUCUCUCUCUCCCCUCUCCCUCUGCUCUUCUGUGUGUGUCUGGUGUGAGUUGACUGUUGGGUAUGUACAUUUGCAGAGAGAGAGAGAGAGAGAGAGAGAGAGAGAGAGAGAGAGAGAGUGCAUGAUGAUACAAAUUGCCUUAGAUUUUCAACCCUCUGUGGUGCAAAUGUUGCUAAAUUCAGAUGACAGGGGCCACAGAAUUUAAGGUUAUUUCCUUCCUUUCCCCAAAGAUACACACAGUGCAGACAGCACAUAGUUAUGACCCCCUCAACAAUGGUUCUUUUCACUCAACUGCAAUAUUCUCCAGCCAACCCCUUCUCUCUCUCUCUCUCUCUCUCUCAUGAUUACAAUGCAUUCAUUUCAAGCUAUGAUCUCAUUAUAAAUGCCUUGAUCUUAAAUCAAUUAUGUUGCACACCAUUCAUUCUAUGUAGUUUUAAUAAUUAGUGCUCUUAUAAUAUGGAGCCCUCUGAAUUUUCAUCUAGCUCCUCCCCCUUCUUUUCUGCCAAUGAUCAUGUUGAGACCCUCAAUCUUUUUCCAAAUUAUAAGACCCCAAAUGCUUAUCUUGAACCUCUACCACUGAUAAACUGCCUGCUUCGUUCACCUGAGCAUCAGGUGCCUAAUUACCAUGAUGAAAACCCUAAAGCAUGCAAUGAAGAUCAUAAAGAGGAUGAAGUCACUGUGGCCCUGCACAUUGGCCUUCCAGAAUAUUCAGAUGGCUCUAUGAACUAUUUGAAUGAGAAGGAAGAUGAAAACAAUGUGACAGCACAAAAAUAUUGGAUUCCAACUCCAGAACAAAUACUCAUUGGCUUCACCCAUUUUUCUUGCCAUGUCUGCUUCAAAACAUUUAACCGCUACAAUAAUCUGCAGGUACGUACGGUUAGUUGUCUAAAUUAUAAUCUAAGUCUCUUUCGAAUAUUUGGUACAAAAUUUCACAUAUAUAAGAUACAUACACACACAAAUGUUCAAUAUAUGAAUCCCUUUCACAAUUCGGUAAUUAAACUGAAGUCUAUUUGGUUGGCUUGGAGGGUUUUGGUUUAAUACCAUAUAUUAUUCCUUGAUUUUAAAAAGAAAACCUUUCGAGCCAACCAAACGGACUUCAGUUUAGCAUUCGAAACCCUCAAGCCAUGCUUUGGUUUGAUUAACAACGUUGGAAAAAUUUACUACCUGAACUUUAGAAGUUUCCUUUUAUAUGUUCUUAUUAAUUGAUUUCACUAUUCCUAUGCUUUUCACUGUCAUGUCAUCAUUCCCAUGGAAGAUGCACAUGUGGGGGCAUGGGUCGCAGUAUCGAAGAGGGCCAGAGUCACUGAAAGGAACACAGCCUCGAGCCAUGCUAAACAUCCCAUGCUAUUGCUGUGCAGAAGGUUGCAAAAACAACAUAGACCACCCAAGAGCAAAGCCUCUAAAGGACUUUCGGACCCUUCAAACACACUACAAGAGGAAGCAUGGCAUGAAGCCCUUCAUGUGUCGCAAGUGUGGGAAGCUGCUGGCAGUGAAAGGAGACUGGAGAACACAUGAGAAGAAUUGUGGCAAGCGCUGGCUUUGCAUUUGUGGUUCGGAUUUUAAGCACAAGAGAUCACUCAAAGACCAUAUCAAGGCUUUUGGCCAUGGCCAUAGACCUUUUCCACCUAAUUCUUUUGAUGAAGUCAGGGAUCUUGAUGAGGAUACUAGUACCACACCAUCGUUGUUUAAAGGCAUGUCAAGUGACACAACCUCUUAACGCAAAUGAAAAUUUUGUGUUCCCCUCUUGAACUUUUUAUGAUGAAGAAUCGUUGACGAAGAUUUGAAUGAAAAAUUCUAUGAGUUUGAUACACAAAUCAGUUGACUAUUUCCAUGAUAUUUUCCUUUCAGUAGAAAACUGUGGUGUCAUGUAAUUUAGAGAUCAUAUUUGUAAGGGAAAUUCUGAAAAAUAGCCAACUUCUCAGCACUGUAAAGAUUUUUAAAAUAAAAAAAGGUAAAAUUUGAACCAUUUUAACUAAAAAAAGACUUAGAAAGGCAGCAUGGGAAUUAAACUUGGCCACCAAAAGUUAGGAAACAAACAUCAACUGCGCUGCAGCCUGCACACAAUGGUUAGCGCUGCACAAUAAACUUGACUUUAUUGUGAUAAAUAGUUUGUUUCAACUUUCAAGCCCUCCUUGAUGCGAGACCCUAGGAGGUCGCCUCAUGGGACUCCCUUCAGGGCCGACCUCUUGCUAUUUCUUAGAGCAAAUAAUGUUUAUAAUAAUAAGAACUUACUAUGUAUGUGUCUAGCUCUCACGUUACACUACUAAGAAAAACAAUGGGCUUGUUUAUUGGUCUACAAAAGGGGUUUGUAUUGGCAUUUUUGGUGCCUAAUAUAUCGAAGUAGUAAUUUUUAGUAUAUUUGGUACCAAAAAAUUCAAUACAAACCCCUUUUGUGAAGAACCUAUCAUGUUGGCGAGUGUAAAAGUUUCUUUUCUACUUAAUUAGUUUAAGAUCCAUAAAUUGAUAAUAUUAGUGAGAAACACUUACUUUCAAGAGAGUUAAAAAUUUUUGAACAUUUUAGAAUUCCUUAACACUCUCAAAUUUCCUCAUCCCAUGUGCAUGACUUUAAGUGUUUUUCUAAAUUAUGAAUUAGACUUUUGAGAGGCUUAUUUGUGAAAGCCAUUUCUUUUUUCCCCAGUUACAAGUACUUGGGCUUACAAUAAGGCAUUAUUGUGCUUUCUCAGGCAUACACAGGAACUUUUGUGAAAAUGGAUGCUUUAGUGAGGGAACUUGGGUGGACGAUGAGUGGCAGCCUGGCAGGUGCUGGGCCAAAGCCAGCCAACAUCUGUUUUCUUUUUUCAAUUGUAUCCCAAGGUACAAAAGUGAAAUUUAAAGUUUGCCAAAAACUAAAGGGUCACGAAAAGUAAAAAUUCAAAGAGGGAUGAUAGAGACUCAGGUAAUGGUCAUAAUAAUGGAUAAUGCUCUAAAUUACUCGUAUCGAUAAAUGAAAAUUAUAGGGAAAAAAGGUAUCUAAAGAGUACAGCCGCACGGCUAUACUAUUAAAAAAAAUUAGAGAGAACCGAGUAUAGUCGUGCGGCUAUACCAUUGUUUAAAGAACCGAGUAUAGACGCGUUUAUUUUUUAAAAAGACCGCAGCGCUUAGUCUCUCACGUGUAAAAACAGUAUAGCCGUCGGCUAUCGCCCGGCUAUACUAGUUUAAAAAAAUUUAAAAGCUCGUAUAGCCACACGGCUAGACUAUUUUAAAAAAGCAAAAAAAAAAAAAAGAAAAAAAAAAGAGUACCUGCCUAUCCAUUAGCCUCUCACAUUCAUUCAUAGUUAGUAAAAUACAAAACGAAAAAAAAUAUGAAUAAAAUACGUAUGUGUUUUAUCCGGUAAAAUUUUGGCAAAUUACAACUUUAAAGUAUGGCCACUAUAUUAUAUUUUAAUAUAAUUCAUAUACAUUUUUAAUAUAUAUUAUUUUUAUUUAAUAAUUUGUGAGAAUUAUGUGUACAAUACGUGAUUUUUGUGUGUCUUAUUGAAAAUUUUGUAUUAAACACGUGUAUUAAACAUGAAAAAUACAUACGUAUGUGUACGAUACGUGUAUUGUAUGUUGGUUUUUUAAAUACGUAUAUUUUACCGAGUCUUUAAGACGUGUACGAAAAACAGAAGUAUUAUUGAAAAGCACAUACGUGUUUAAUACAAGUAUUAAACGGGAAAAUGCUAAAUUCUUUAAACGGUAAAAACUCACGAAAAGUAAAAACUCAAAAGGAGACAAUAGAGACUCGAGAAAUGGCAUAAUAGUAACAGAUAAUACUCUAAACUACCAUUGUAGACAGAAAUUUCGAGUACCAGAAGAACUUCUUUUGAAUUUAUUUUAAAAAUUUUAUAUAUUGGAGGAUUGGAAUGCAGGACUUCGAAUUCAAGUGUAAACACUCAACCCAUUGAGCUAACAUAAAAUCAAAAGUUGAAAUCACAUAAUUGAUGUCCCUUGCUUGAUAUAGUUUCUUGCCUUUUUGAUGGUUUGCUUGUGACAUGGAAUCAAAAUUCGAAAUCACAUCAUUGAUGUGUAUAUUGAUCAAAUGUUCCAUUUUAAAAUUACAAGAGUUCGUGAAGCAUUAUUAUUAGAUACGCCAACUUGGAAAGCAAGCACAUAAAACAAACAAAAAAGCAAAAAGGAACUUCUCAUGACCCAAGAAAUUCAAAAAAUACACAAAAGCACAUAAAAAUUCAAACAAAAAGGAACUUCUUAUCAGGAACAAGAUGAUCCAAGUAUGGACUGAAACAACUAGUUAGAUUCUAGUCAAUUCAGAUUUCUUGGAGAAAGAAGAACCCGGUUAAUCAUGUUGUCCAAAGCCAAGAAUGAUAACCCAUUUGGACCAGUAGCGGCCUCCUCUGCCAACUUCUUCCAUUCCGUGGCUUUCUUCCUCAUCUCUUUGCCCUUCUCUCCCUCCAUUAAUGUUCGCACAAGGUCCUCUAUGUAGUUUCUUUUAACAUCACCCUCUAUCUCUAUGCCUACGCCCCAUUCUUUGCAACAGAACCUGCAAUUGGUUUGUUGCUCUGCAAAGAAGGGCCAACAGAUCAUGGGCACUCCACCACACAAACUUUCAAGGGAAGAGUUCCAUCCACUGUGUGUCAAGAACCCUCCUACAGCUGGGUGGCUCAGGACUUGUUCUUGAGGGCACCAACUUGAGAAUAGACCCCUUUCUUCGGUCUCUUCCAAAAACUCCGGUGGAACCACAGCGGAUUCUCCAAGAACAAGGUCAGGCCUUAUAACCCAUAAAAAGGCCUUGUUGCUAUUUGCAAGUCCCCAAACAAACUCAAUUAGUUGCUCAGAUGUCAUGACUGUGAUGCUUCCAAAGUUGACAUAAACCACAGAAUUUGGUUCUUUUGAGUCAAGCCAUUCAAGGCACUCUGUUUCUUCUCUCCAUAGAUUUGAUUCAAUCGACUUCAAAUUGUUAUAAUCUGGUGGAAUCUGACUAACCUGUAGUUGAAGGGGUCCAAUGCAGUAAAUAGGUGGUAGCAAAGUCGAAAGUGCAUCCAGAACUUCAAGCUCUAAGGCGUCAAAUGUGUUGAAAAUGAUUGCUGAAGCUUUCUGGGCUCGUUCGUACUCACUCACAAGAUAUUUCAGCAUGAUGUCAUUUGGAUCUGUGGUUCUGACGAAGGUUGGCAAGUCCCUCAAACGAAUAUGUCUCAUGCCUGGUAUCCAAUCUAUUACAGUAUCUAAAUACCCAUUUGUCAAAUAGCUGGCAUCUGCAAAUCAAAUAGGUCUUCUGAGUCAAACAUUCUAACCAAAAAAGAAAAAAAAAAAAGUUAACAAUUUUAUUAUGUAGUGUCCCCAAAUGACCAGUGAGGAAUUUGAAGUAAAUUCCUCUUUUUUUUUUUAAUUGAUUAUUUUUGAAGAUUGAAAUAUUCUUUUAUUAGACAAAUGCGAACGUUGUUAGAUUGAAUAUAUAGUAUACAAGAGUCAACUUGAUUACUAUUCAGAUUCACAUUCUAAUAAUAUAAAUAUUGUUUGACAAGUGAACGUUCUUGUCAGUAUAAUAGUACCUUUAAGAGGAAUUAAACCCUUUUCCAUCAGAGGGAGAUACUGAAGGUAACCCAACGAGCCACAAGCACUCGUUGUUUCGAAAAGAACACAGGGAAUGCCAAAUUCUUGGGCUGCAUCAAGUGAGAAUGUCAUGCCACCAUCAGAAACUAAGCAAGUAACUGGAGGGGAAUGGGGUAAAGAGUUAAGCUUUGAUAAAAGGUCUCUGAAGGGUGCUAAGCAAUUUUUACUAGUGGAAAGGCAUAGGGAUGGUAUGUCUUGGGUGGCGUUGUCAUCAGAUGGAGGGAGGCCAUCAGGAAUGGUCUCGAAUUGAAAGGAGGGGAGGCCGUCGAGAGAGUUGGGACCUCGAGAUUUAAGGAGGCGUUUGUGGUUGAACUCUGUGUUCACAAAGGUUAUAUGAAAACCUUUGUAGUGGAGGAGCUUAGCUAAUUUCAGCAUUGGGGUUAUGUGACCUUGAGCUGGGUAGGGUAUGCAAACUGCAUGUGGCUUCUUUGUCAAGGCAACAGAACCCAUUCUCUCGUUUCUCUCAAAUCACACACAAAACCUAUGGAAAAUAGGAUAUGCUAUGGUGAAGAGCACCUGCAGUUUUAUAGCAGUGACAUACAAUGUCAAUAAUUGGUGGUCAAUCAUGGACCUGGACAUGUACAUUGUAUUCUCUGAUCAACUUUGCCACAUUUUUAAAUCAUGACCAUUCCUUUUAUUUCCAUUCCGCACCAAUCAUGUCUAAUUAACGACAAAUCGUUAUGUUCUUCAAUCUAGAAUGCGAGAAACGUGUGAAACAGAACAUGUAUAAUCACUAUAUUCCUCAGGCAGAUGUGAGCCAUACCCAAGUUUGGCCAAGCCCAAAAGCAAGACUUGUUUGGGCAAGCUAACCUCACGUUGACGUCAAUAGCCAAUUUAAAUAUUAAAAAAACGAGAAAAAAAAAUGAAAAAAUUCAGAAUUUUUUAUAUAUAAAUACCUAGUCAUAUUCUUCACUUCUCACACCAAAACUCCAUAUAAAUUUAUCUCCUCAUAUUUCAUGUGAAUAGUUGUUGCUCUUGAGUUGCCAUAACAAUGGGUGGGAAUGCAUAAAAAAGAUUUGCUAAGGCAGUCACUAUUCAUAUGAACAGUAAUAGUCCUUGUCUUUUGCCAUGGCAAAUGGGUGAUAGUACUCUAAGAAGAGGGACAUUGCACCCAACGAAAACUAGGUCAAAGCAUAAUAAACAUGAAUGGGCGAAAUAAUCUACGCGAAACCUAGCAAAUAAUAUGAGGCAUAGUUGUAAAAACUAAGGAUAAUAUAGUAAAUUAACAAUUUUUCAUAUUAAAAUUUUUUUUAAAUCAAAAUCAAAGUAAAAACAUGGUCCUAUUUUCACGAGACACAAAAAUCAAACUCAUUUUCUCUUUCGUAAUUUUAAAGUUAAAAAAAAAAAAAAAACAACUAGUGUAUCGGCUAAGUAAGAUAUGAGGAACAAUACGGCUUUUUAUAAAUUCAGCCAGAUAACUCAUGGUGUGGUUACUAAUCAGGAAUUGGAAUUCUCAUCAGGAAUUGAAUUCCACUUAUAGAGGAAUCCUGUGUUUAUUUCGUAUCAAGGAAUUGAAAAGUGAGUGGGGUCCGCACGAAAUUAGGAUUUGAAUUCCUAAUUUUGGAGGAAUUCAAUUCUUGGAUGGGAGGUGAUAUUCUAAUUCUUGGAGAAUUAACCCAUUAGGAAUUUAUCUUUUUUACCCAUUAUAUCCUCACACAAUUUUCAAAUUUUCAAAUUUGCCAUCUACUUAAACCCAACAACUAGGACGAUUUAGUAAUUAGUACCACUCAUACCCCAAUUCUAUAUGGUUUAGUAAACAACUUCAAUGAAAAUCUGAAAUCUAAUUCUCCUUAAUCCAACUCUUCCUCAAUUCAAUUUCUUUUAAUCCAAUUACGAAUAAACAUGCCAUCAGUUGCUUGUUCGGCCUGGUGUCUGAUAUUCAUUAUAAGUUGGGCUGAGCCCUUUUGGGCUUGCCUUGUUUUGGAACUUCUUUUUUUAUUUUUCUUUUUUGUGCUUAAUAUAUUUUUGUUGUACAGAAAAAAAAAAAGAAAAAAAAAGAAAAAGAAAGUGAUAACAGCACCGAUCGAGCUUUCAUGAAAGCACAUGUAUUCAUAGUACAAUUAUAGAGAGAGCACGUCAUCUUAGCCAACUUGCAUAUUAAUCCAAAAACCUGCCAAGGAACAUGGUAUGCAAGCAGUAUCACCACUGGCACCACAGAUAUCUGAUUUCUAAUGUCAUGCUAUGUUUCAUACGGCAGAUGGAUAGGGCUUUAAAGCACAAAUCAGAUCUUCCAAAUCUCGGCAAAAAUUUACCUAUUUCAUUGCAUCAGCUCCCAAGAAAAUGCCAGUCCUUGAGCCAUAUUAGACAUCCAUUUCUUUUUGUCGUGCUAAAUAUUGAAAAGCCAACAUGGAGUGGACCACCUAAGAGCAAACAAAUCCUUUAAGAGUCGGUCCAUUUGGAUGGAGUGAUUUCAAAUUCCGGGAGUUUGAAGAAAUUAUAAGGUUAAAUUUUUUUAUUUAGAUUAUUACGAUAUAUGUAUACUAAGAUUUGAAUAAGAAUGAAAUGACGAAAACAAAUGAAUUAUUGCACAUAGUCAUUUGAAACUCAUUCCGAAUAUACUAUAUUUACGGCUAGUUAUCUCAAACACAUUCGAUCUAAUCUUUUCUUUCUGCGACUUCCAUCCAAACGGAGCCAGAUUUCGGGCCUUUCAAACGCACUACAACAGGAAGCAUGACAUUGACAUGGAAGCCCAUUACGUGCAGCAAGUAUGGCAAGUAGUUGGCAGUGAAAGAUGACCGGAAACGCAUGAGAAGGAGCAAGCGUUGGAUUUGCAUUUGUUUUUGUGGUUCAGAUUUCAAGCACAUCACUACAAAAAGUAAGUGGAAGAUGUUGACAUAUAUGGAGAAAUCUCCAAUGCUGUCUAUAAUUAUUGUUAGGUUUGAAUAAUUCUCAUGGUAACAAAAAAUGUGAAGACACGGAUGCCAGAGAACGAAAGACAAGGGCUGCAUGGAAAUUAUUAUUAUAUUUUGGUCGAAAGAUGGAAAUUAUUAGAAAAAGUACAAAUAAGUGCCCGUCACACUCCAGACAAGUGGGCAUUUGCGUGAGAUUCCACUCCUACAUGCCCUUUGGAGGAGGGAAAGGUUAAAAUUUGUUUGAGUUGUUCUUCUUUAUUUUUCCAUUUAUCAACAUGACUUUCUACUUAUAAUUGUAUUUUGAAGUGAGAAUUAGUGCUUAAAACAUGGAAUUAAUUAGUGGAUACAAGUGAGGUCCGAAAGAGAAAAGUGAACUCAGUUUGUAUUUUAGUAAAUAUAUGGAAGAAAACUCCAUUUAGAUCCAAAACUUGAAUUGGAAAAUUUUAAUUUUAUUUCCUGAUACCAUUUUCGGUAAAAUUCUACGCGUCUCAAUUAUACAACCAGCCAAAUUAAGCUAAUACAAACGGUUUGAUUGAGUUUUUACACUAAAAAAGUUAAUCUUAAACGAAACUGAACCAAAUAGCAAUUAUUCAUGAAAGCUACAUAAACCGAAUCAAACUACCUAUAUUAAUCUUUGUUUUUUUUAACACCUAACAUUUUCUGUAUUGGUUAUUAUCACCAUCUCAUGUGUUUGUUUCAUUCCAUAAUGCACCUCCUUUUUAUUAUUAAACUUCUCCAUCUUCAAUGGAACUAAAAUGUUUGCUUAAUUAUUGUUUAUGCCACUAGUUUAAGAUCUAAAGCAAACAUGAUAUUAUAUUACAGUUCGGAUAAUGAUCAAAACCGAAGGUGAUAAUGUAUUAAAUUGGCGUGAUGUUCUAGGUGUAAACUAAAGUGAACUAAACAAGGCGGAUCCCUUCAAAGCGCCGCUGAUUGCAUUGCAUGCAUAAGAUUGUGAUGCAACACUGGAGUCUGGAGAGCCAUGAAGCCAAUGCACAUUAACACUGGAGUCUGGAGAGCCAUGAAUUCAAUGCAAUGUGCAUUGGCUGUUGGACUAAUUCGUAAUAAACAUUAGAUAUUAAUUGAUGAUCUGACGAAGCCGUUCAUAAGCAAUGAAUAUGUAUAUUUGUGCGUUAUAGAGUGAUACGGUAUCAUCACGUCAACUAGUGAUAUUCUCAUUUAAAAUUUGAUAUGUAUCAAUUUUAAAAGAAAAUUAAAAAACAAUUACACAUGAACUUUGUCUUUCAAGUUCACCCUUCAACAUUAAUUAGACCUAAUCCCUCUCCCACCAUCUCUUCUCUCUUUUCCCUCGCCACCCACCCCAGCCUUUCUCUCCCUUCUCCUCCAACAUCACCAACCCCUCUUUACCUCCCUCUCAUUAACGCAUUAAGAAAAAACCAAAAAUCUUGUCUUGAAUAUAUAUGUGCAAAUCAGAAAUAUUCAAAAGCAUCUUCUAUGAUGAUAAGUUGACAACCCACAAAUGAAAGAAAUGUAAUGAUGGAUGUUUUGGGCAACCAAGUAACCUGGUAGACAGAUUGCCGAUGGGAUCUUGGUGGGACACUGCUACAAUCUUGUUUUCUUUUUCAUGUUUUUCAAAAAAAGUUAAAUAAAAUUUAUUCAGAGUAAAGUUAGAAGACAAAGUACAACUAUGAAAAAAAUAUAAUUAUUUUUUUAAAAUUGACACGUGUUAGAUUUUGAGUGGGAGUAUCACCCGUUGACGUGGUGAUACCAUCUUAUUCUAUAAUUUCUCCUGUGCAUAAAGCCAUAUUAUAUUAUUAGACAACUAUAUAUAUAUAUAUUUUUUUUUUCUGCAAUGAAUUUAAGCUCAAUCUCAGUAGAAACUAUUAUAUUUCGUUUGGUGGUUCGGAUUAAAUUAGAUUAGAAUUGAAUUUAAGCUAGUUCUUAUUAGUCUUAUUCAUUUUUAUAAGAUACAAUAUGUAGAAUGGUUGUCCAUUUUAAUAAGAUCAUUUCCGGAGCACCGAAACAAUUAAGACUAUAACCAUUUAAUUGAUAUAGUCCAGUACAAUCCCACCCAGGGGCAGUUCUACACCUAGGGCAAGGUAGGUUGCUGCCUAUCCCAAAUUUUUCAAAAAGGAAAAAAUACCCAUAUGUAAUAGGCCAACCCAUGUGAAACAUACAAACCUAUGCCCACCCAAAAAGCAACCCACAUGUAUGCAUAAUCUAAAAUUUCUCUCCUCCUUAAUUAUCUUCUCUUUAAUUUCCUACCUCCAAAUUUUAAGAUGUUGUAUAUGACAACAUUGAAUAUAACAUAUUUUAAAUAGGUUAGAAGUUAUGUGUUCUAAUCAAUUUUAGGGUUUACUUAAGAAUGAAUUAUAAUUUGUUGACUUUGUUGAAAUUAAUUAGGUCUUUGGAAUUUUGUUGAGAUGUUUGAUUUGAUAUUGGUAUUGUUGAGAAGUUUGAUUUGUUGUUGGUAUGUUAAUGUUUGAUUAAAGUCAUUGAUGCUAUUAUGACAAUUUAUUUGAUUUUUUGUUGGGAUGUUGGAUUAAAUAGGUUAUCUUUUGGGAUGCCUAUGCCUAUGCAAUCUUAGUUGGGAUGCCUAUGCUAGAGUUUCUUCGAUCUUGCCUGAUCGUUAGUGGAGACAUACAUGAUUUUCUUAAUUUUAAUAUUAGACCACUCUGUUAUUGUAAUGAUCCUUUUGUGGCUAGUUUGUAUUGACCUUUUAUGGCUAGUGGCUUUUUUGGCUGAAUUAUGAAUGCAAUCAUAGAAUUUCUCAAAAAAAAAAAAAAAAAAGGUUAUCUUUUGUUAUAUCGGAUCACAAUCUGAACCCCAAGAAAACAAAGAAUUUUUUGGAUUUUUUUUUAUAAGAAAAAGAAUAGGUUUUUUUUUUUGGCUAAACUUUUAUUUAUAUAUAGAGAUGUAUUUGAGGGUAAGACUUAUUACGUCCCCCUACUAAAGUGUAUAUUUUUAUGUUUUUUUUUUUUUAAUGAGAUUCACUCAUAACAUUGAGUUUUUAAUGUAGACUUCGCCCAACUGAAUUUCGAAUCUUGAAUCCACCAUUAAUCUCACCCACUAUACACACAUGAAACUGCAAAUUAAGAACAGAAAUAGUACCCUUUAUUUAGAUUAAUAGGCAGUUGAAUUUCUCAAAAGCCUCGGCAAACGGUACAUAUUUUAUUUUUUUUAUCAGGAACUGGAUGAUCCAAAUACAGAUUAAAACACCAGAAAGAAAAAAAAGAACAAGAUGGAAUUGAAUCAAUUCUAAUCUCUUGGGGAAAGAAGCACUUUGCUAACCACAUUUUCCAGAGCCAAGUAAGACGACCCUUUUGGGGCAGUGGCGUCCUCUGCCAACUUCUUCCAUUCAAGGGCUUUCUUCCUCAUCUUUUUGCCCUCUUCUCCAUCCAUCAAUGUCCUCACAAGACCGUCAAUGUAAUCUCUUUUAACUUCCCCGUCUAUCUCAAUGCCUAUGCCCCACUGUGUGCAGCUGUACCUAACAUUUGUUUGCUGCUCUGCAAAGAAAGGCCAGCAGAUGAGAGGCACUCCGCCACACAAGGCCUCGAGGGUAGAGUUCCAGCCACUGUGAGUCAAGAACCCUCCAAUGGCUGAGUGGAGCAGAACCUGUUCUUGAGGGCACCAACUUGCCAACAUACCCCUCUCUUUGGUCUCCUCCAAAAACUCAGGCGGCACCACAGCGGUUUCUCCAGCAACAAGGCCAGGCCUGAUGAUCCACAAAAAUGGCUUCUUGCUAUUUGCAAGUCCCCAAGAAAACUCAACCAGCUGCUCAUUUGUCAUGACUGUGGUGCUUCCAAAGUUGACAUAAACCACAGAGUUGGGCUCUUUGGUGUCCAGCCAGUUAAGGCACUCUGUAUUCUCUGCCCACAGGUUCGAUCCGAUCGCCUUCAAAUCAUUGUAUUCUGAUGGAAUCUCGCUGUAUGGUAGCUGAAGGGGUCCAAUGGAGUAAAUAGGAGGUAGCAAAGUGGAAAGGGCAUCCACAACUUCUUGCUCCAAGGCAUCAAAUGUGUUCAAAAUAAUAGCAGAAGCCUUUUUGGAUCGCUCUGUUUCAGACACCAUAUAAUGCAGCAUGAUGUCGUUUGGGUCUGUGGUUCUAAUAAAGCUAGGCAUGUCCUUCAAUCUGACAUCCUUCAUGCCUGGGAUCCAAUCAAUCUCUGUAUCCAAAUACCCAUUUGCAAAAUCCUUGGCAUCUGCAGAUCAAAUUAAGAAAUCAAUGGAACUAGUUAGCUAACACUCUUUAAGUUUUUUUUAAAAAAAGUGAACUUCUGUUUUUUUUUUUCCCUGAAUGAUUAAUUGAUAGUACCUUUAAAAGGAGUGAGGCCCUUCUCAAUGAGACGGUAAUACUGAACGUAGCCCAUCAAGCCACAAGCACUAGUUGUCCAGAAAAGCACUUCUGGGAUCCCGAAAUGCUCUGCUGCAUCAAGGGUGAAGCUGGUGACACCAUCAGCAACAAUACAAGUCACAGGAGGGGAAUCGGGUGAAGAGUUGAGCUUGGUCAAAAGCGCCUCGAAGGGUGCCAAGCAGGUUUUACUAGUGGAAUCGCACACCAAAGGCAAGUUGCGCCUGGCAUCGGCAUCAGCCGGAGGGAGGCCGUCGGGAAUGGUUUCGAAUCGAAACGAAGGGAGGCCGUCGAGAGCGUGGGAACCUUGGGAUUCAAGCAUGCGCUUGUGGUUGAACUCUGUGUUCACAAAGGUUAUGUGGAAGCCUUUGUAGUUGAGGAGCUUGGCUAAUUGCAGCAUAGGGUUUAUGUGACCCUGAGCUGGGAAGGGUACAAAAACUGCAUGUGGCUUCUCUUUGGAGGCAACUGGACUCAUUUUCUCUGUAUGAUAUCCUAGACAAAAGAGCUGAAGGGAAAUGGAGAUGAUGGGAUGCUAAGAGAAGUGUAAGAACUUGCAGUUUUAUAGUGGUGAAGGGUCAAGGGCUGCACUGUGCGGGCAAGUGCUUCUUGACCGUUGAUGCAUUUUUCGGAUUCUCUAUCUGUUUUUUUAAGAUAAAUUGAGUGCCAGUCAUUCCUCGUGGUAUGAUUAUUAUAAUCUCAGAGAUCGACCUUUCCAAAUGAGUCCAAGGCCACGGUGUCCAGAACAAAUGCUCGCACAACUACUGCCUGAUUAGUGUGUUAGAUUGGAGACAUUGUCGCAUGGCAAGUGUGAAAUGUGUGAAAUGUAUGUAGACUUCAAAACGCACACAAGGUUCAGUCAUAAUCAGAAGAGAAAUGCUGGCCGGCAACUUUCAUAAUUUCAUGGGCCAUACUCUUUUAAAUAAAGAUGUAGAAAGUCUUUAAAAAAAGGAGAAGUUUUAGAGAAUAAAUUACAUUGGGAAAAAGAAAAAGAAGUUUCACACUUUCAUUUUUUUCACUUACACUCGUGCAAAGAUAACUAGUCUUAAAUGAUUAUUCAGUAAUUUAUAAAAUAAAAUAAAAUAACAAACUAUGCUCCUGUGUAUAAGGUUGCAUUUUAUGAAGAACAAACAUUAUUUGUCACCAUCAAUUAUGGAUGUUAUUACUUUUUGGUUUAGUUUAAUAUUGAAAAGAGGGAAUAAAUACAUGACCUUGGUUAUAACUUAUAGGGACAAAUAUUCUAAGUCACUUCAGCCCCUUAUAAAAUUUCAAAUUUGACUAAACCAUAUCAUUUUUCAUCUUGACUACCCUACAAUCUCAUUAAAUCUUUCUUUUUCCAUUUGCCUAUGCUAGUCACCAGUCAUUAGAAAAUCCUUGUGGCUGGAUGUCGAAGAGUCUAUGCCAAUGCCCAUUAGUUAUUCCAUUUGAAAGAACAUGUGCUUUGUUUUAUGCAUUUACUUUUUAUUUUAUUUUAUACAAGCGAUAUUGAGGGGAGAGAAAUCGAACUUAGGACCUCGGGUGUAAGUGUAUUUGUUCUUAAUCACUUGAGCUACAAACAGGGGCAGAGCCAUUAAAGGAUUAGUGUGGUCCCAUGCCCCCACUCCAUCUUUUAUUCAUUGUAUUAUAAUAUUAUGUAUGAUGUAUAAUAUUUAACAUAUUAGACUAGUUUUAGGAGAUAUUUAUCCUAAAAUAAAUAGUAUAUUUUUUGUAUUUUUUGUCUACAACAAUAAAACUUCUUAAUCACUUUUUUAUUUCUCUCUUUUACCUUCUAGAUUAGUUUAUGAUAUUUACACUAAAAACUCCUACAUUUUUAACCUUUCUUUCUCUUUUUCUUUUGUGUAAGUUAAACUUUGUGAAUUUUUAUUUCCCUCUCUUUUUUCAUAGAUUUUAUGAACCCCUUUUGUAUUUAUUCUCUAUGUUGGAAUAUAAAUUAUUAAUUUGUGAGUUUAUAAUAUUUUAGAUGAUGAGAUUAGUACUUAACCAUUAUAAAAUAUGAAAUUGCGGACAAUUAUGAUUGUAAUGAAUGGAUAUAUUAAUCAAUAUAAAAUGAUGUUAUGAAGUAGGCCAAAAGGAGUAGUUUAAUUAGUGUCAUAUUAAUUUAGCAUAUUCUUAAUAAACUUGUGAAUGAGAAUGACUCCCUUUAAUUUGAAAUCCUGAUUCUGCCAUUGACUACAAGUCCCUUGCACAUUUACCUUUUUCAUUUAAGUCUGAAGAAUGCCUUGUAAAAAUGUAAAACGAAAACUAUUAUUGACACUGCAAAGAAAACAUCAUACAUUAAUUCAUUCAAUUGUAAUUUCUCUUAUGAUUUUAUAAUUUUUUAGAAUUCCAAUAACAGCUCUGGAUAAAAUUCAUUAGAAAGAAGAAUUGAAGUAUGUUCAAACAGAUUUCAAAAUAGACUAAACAAUUUAUCAGUAACAACUUUUGUCAGCUUAAUUCCAUUUGUGUGUCAAUUUCGUCCUUAUUAUCAUAAAUUCUGUUAUCAGUAAACAAUCCCCAUAUCAAACAGAGUGUUCAGUUAAGGACAGUGACAAUCGAGCAAUAUUGCCUGACGAAACACCAAACCAGAACUUAAAAUCACGAUAAAAAGGAAAAGAAAGACGUGCUGUCUUCAAUGAGAAAACCAACUUCAGAUCUAUUCUCACACCAAGUGAAAACAUAAGGACAAGAUUGAUGAAAUCGAUGACACAUUAACACUACAACACUGGGCGAAACUCGAGUUUCAUUGUGUUGAAAUGAGUGAUACGAGUGUGCCUUAAUCUAAGAAACAUUGCACACCGCCCAAAAAAAUACUCAAUAAUUGUAUUUUGGUCAAACAAAAAAGAUGAGCAAAUUACAAAAAAAGUAAAAAUAAAAAUAAUCAGGGAAUUCAGAAGAUGUUAUAAAGUAAUAAGCGAAGCCCAUAUAAAGAAAGUAAAAGGAUAUUAGUCAAAAGAUGAAAUUAUGAUGUUGCGUAAAAGUAUCAUUAUGUCUCCUUUAGAUGCCAUUUGCUUUGCCUAUAAAUAGGCAUCAUUUUACUUGUAAAGAUACAUGAAUGGAGAAAAGAAGAGAAAGAAGAGAAAGUGAGAGGAAAUAAGAGAGAGUGAGAAAUCUGAGUGUGUGAGUUCUGUCUAAGAAGAAAUUCUAUCAGUGUAAACAUCAUAAAGAGCAAAUAUAAUUUCACUCCCAAUAUUCAGUGGUACUUCUCAUACUCUUUAAUUUCUUUAGUUUUAUAACACGUUAUCAGCACAAUAGUCUCUCCUUUUUAUUUCUAAAUUUGUCCCAGUGUGCUCAACACUAUGUGGUUAUUUCUCUGUCUCCUCUCUGUCAUAUGUCUCAUCUCACUUUACUACUACGACGACAUGCAAACUUUCUUUUUUGUGUUCUCACAAUUUUUAUGUUGUUUCAUCCAUGCUUGUUUAAUUUACUUCUUUGUAACGUAAUUUGGAAUGAUGCCGUUUUAUACCCCAUCAUGUUGUUUUAUGGUGGUGUAAUUUUUAUUACCCAUCACGUUGUAACACAAAUUAUCAUAAUAAAAUGAUGGUGUGAUCUUAAAACCCAUAUAUUAUAUUUUGAAUAGUGGCGCAGUUAUAUUGCCUGCAAUAUAUAAUAUGUUAUAUACUUUAUAUAUUUUAGGUGGUGGUUUUUGUCUCCACAUUUACUUUAACAAAAUGGACGGUUUUCACCUCCUAUAUUUUUCAGUGGUGGUUUUAUCCCCACAUUUAUUUUAUUUAUGGUAUAGAGUAGGUUUAUUACUCAUACGGCAAUAUUUAUUUAAAAAUGUGGCACGGGUUUAUCGUCCACACAGCUGCCUUUAUUUUUAUUUAAAAGUAUGGAGCAGAAUUAGUCCCCCUGCAAGCACAUUUGCUUUAUUAUUGUAUGGUGUGGAAUUAACCUCCAUACAACAAGCAAUUUACUUUAUGAAUUUACUUUACUGCACAUUUUCUUUCAUUUAAGGUAUAGUGCGAAUUUAUCGUCCAUACCAGCAAAUUUAUGGCACUUUAUUUUUAUCAUCAAUUAAUAUACCUGAAUAAUGAGGGCCUGAAGUUCCUAUUAAUAAGUGGCUUAAUGUCCCAGAUCCCAAGCCUAAAGUUUCGGAUGGCAAAUUUGGCAAAACUGAAGUUUACUGCCUUGGACAUUUCUGGAGACAACUAUUUAUCAUGGCUUUUGGUUGCCAAAAUCCAUCUACGUGCCAAUGGCCUCGUACAAACAAUUUUAUAUGGGAAUGAUGAUUUGCCUGAAGAAAAUGCGAAGGCCAUGAUCUUUCUUCGUCACCACAUCCAUGAAGCGCUGAAAAGCGAAUAUGUGGUGGUUGAUGAACCGUUGGUUCUAUGGAAAGCUUUAGGUGAAAGAUACGAUCACUAGAAGAUGGUGACCUUCCCAAGAGCUAGAUAUGAAUGGACCUACUUGAGAUUUCAAGAUUUCAAGACAGUGUCCGAGUACAACUUUGCUAUGCACAGAAUUACCUCAUUGAUGAGGCUAUGUGGUGAAAAUAUAUCUGAGGAGGAUAUGCUCGAAAAAAACUUUGAGCACUUUUCAUGCUUCAAAUGUCCUCCUGUAGCAGCAAUACAGACAUAGCGGUUUCAAGAAGUACUCGGAACUUGUAUCUUGCCUCUUGUUAGUUGAGCAGAAUAAUGAACUCUUAUUAAAGAAUCACCAAUCUUACCCAACGGGCUCAGCACCACUUCUUGAAGUAAAUGUUGCAUCUCAAGAAGUGAAUGUCACCUCAUCCCGUGGCAAUAUCCACAGACGUGGACAAAAAGGCAAGCGUGGCUGCUGGCAAAGAAGCAAAAAAGAUCGUGGUGCUCGUUCAGAUGGUUUAGGUUCAAUGAGCAAUCAUCCACGAAUGGCAAAAAUGCAUCCCGUAAUAAGGGGAAGGCACGGACGAGCCAUGUGCCUAGAAAUGUGGGAAGUACUUGUCACAGAUGUGGUGCAAAGGGACAUUAGGCGCGUGAAUGUCAUACGCCCAAGUAUUUGGCAAGCUCCAAAAGAGUCAAGAAAUUAAAGUCAGACAAAUCCGCUCAAACGAUAACCUGGCAGAUCUCUUCACCAAAUUAUUGCCAAAAUGUACAUUUCAAAAGUUAGUGCAUGGCAUCGGAUUACGAUAACUCUUCAAGCAAUCAAAUUGAAACAUGCAAAAUUAGGGGGAGCAUUCAAGAGUCCACUAACACAGGACAUAUGAGCGUUGUACUCUUUUUCCUUCGACUAGGGUUUUUCCUAGCAAGGUUUUAACGAGGCAACAUGAGCGCAUUUAACAUUACCCUUAUGUCCUAAAUAAAGUUGUACUCUUUUUCCUUCAUUUAUGUUUUUUCCCACUGGAUUUUUUCAAGUAAGUUUUUAAUGAGGCAACCAAUCUAGGGACAUGUAGUCUCCAAGGGGGAGUGUUAUAAAGUAAGAAGUGAAGCCCACAUGAAGAAAGUAAGGAGGUAUUAGUCAAAAGAUGAAAUUAUGAUGUUGGGUAGAAGUAUCAUUAUGUCUCCCUUAGAUGCCAUUUGCUUUGCCUAUAAAUAGGCAUCAUUUUACUUGUAAAGAUACAAUAAUGGAGAAGAGAAGAGAGAGAAGAGAAAGUGAGAGCAAAGAAGAGAGAGUGAGAAAUCUGAGUAUUUGAGUUCUGUUUGAGAAGAAAUUUUGUCAGUGUAAACACCAUAAAGAGAAAAUAUAAUUCCACUCUCAAUAUUCAGUGGUACUUCUCAUACUCUUUGAUUUCUUUAGUUUUAUAACAGUAGACAAAUUCUUCAGCUACACCACCCAAGAAUUUUUCCUGGAAAUAGAGUUUUGAAAGUGGUACCAAGGACAAGUUCAUGUGACAAAAUUAAUACAUUCUAAUUUUUGGAAGAUAGAAGCACCUUGUUAACCAUUUGUUCCAAAUCCAAAAAGGAUGAUCCAUAUGGACCAGUAGUAGCCUCCUCUGCCAACUUCUUCCAUUCCAAGGCUUUCUUCCUCAUCUUUUUGCCCUCCUCUCCCUCCAUCAACUUUCUCACCAGCUCCUCCACAUAAUUUCUUUUCACAUCAUCCCCUACCUCCAACCCUACGCCCCAUUCUCUGCAGCUGUACCUACAAUUGGUUGGCUGCUCUCCACAGAAGGACCAACAGAUCAGAGGCACACCACCGCACAAACUUUCCAGUGUAGAGUUCCAUCCACUGUGCGUCAAGAACCCUCCCACCGCUGGGUGGCUCAGGACUUGUUCUUGAGGGCACCAAUGAGCCAAUAGAGACCUGUCUUUCGUCUCUUCCAAAAACUCUGCUGGAACCACAGCUGAUUCUCCCCUAACAAGGUCUGGCCUAAUCACCCAUAGAAAUUUUUUUUUGCUAUUUGCAAGUCCCCAAGCAAACUCAAUCAGCUGCUCAUUUGUGGUGACUGCAAUGCUUCCAAAGUUGACAUAAACCACAGAGUUGGGUUCUUUGGUGUCUAGCCAUUGAAGACACUCUGGCUCCUCUGUCCAUAGGUUUGAAACAAUCGACUUCAACUCGUUCUCUGCUGGGAUCUGUUUGAGUUGUAGGUUUAGGGGUCCAAUGGAGUAAACAGGUGGAAGCAAAGUUGAAAGUGAGUCUAUGACUUCAUGUUCCAAGUCAUGAAAUGUGUUCAGAAUGACGGCGGAAGCUUUCUUAGUUCUCUCUGUUUCACCCACCAGAAAAUUCAGCAUGAUAUCAUCUGGCUCUGUGGUUCUCAUGAAGGUUGGCAAGUCCUUCAAACGGAUGUUCCUCAUGCCUGGUACCCAAUCUAGCACAGUAUUUAAAUGCCCGUUUGUAAAAUAACUGGCAUCUGCAAAAUCAGAUUAACAAAGUCUGUUAUGUUUUGUUCAGAGGGAAAAACGGCAGUUUACUCUUAAUCAGACAAUUGAUUGAUUGAUUAAUACCUUCAAAAGGAGUGAGACCUUUUUCUAUGAGUUGAUGAAACUGAACGUAGCCCAUGAAACCACAAGCACUAGGUGUCCAGAAAAAAACUGCGGGAACACCAAGUUCCUGAGCUGCAUCAAGAGUGAAACUCAUAACACCAUCAGUGAUUAAGCAAGUGACACGUGGGGAAUCAGGCGAAGAAUUGAGCUUGGAGAGAAGGUCUCUGAAGUGAGGCAAGGAGUGUUUGCUAGUGGAAUCACAUAAGGAUGGUAUGUCUUGGGUGGCAUCGGCAUCGGUUGGAGGAAGGCCAUCGGAAAUGGUCUCGAAUCGAAACGUGGGGAGGCCGUUAAGAGCGUCGGGACCUCGAGAUUUAAGGAGGCGUUUGUGGUUGUACUCUGUGUUCACAAAGGUUAUGUGGAAGCCUUUGUAGUGGAGGAGUUUGGCUAAUUGCAUGAGAGGGUUUAUGUGACCUUGAGAUGGGAAUGGCACGAAGACUGCAUGUGACUUCUUUGAGGUCAAGGCAAUUGAACUCAUCCUCUCUCCCGUCUCUCCCA
This 84381-nucleotide long non-coding RNA is filed under the name Prunus persica (peach). RNAcentral describes it as "long non-coding RNA (PPER_LNC001560)". The record is from RNAcentral. Lineage: Eukaryota; Viridiplantae; Streptophyta; Magnoliopsida; Rosales; Rosaceae.